ACGUACCGGUAAAUUAUCAUAAUCAGAAUUUGUCGACGAAUUUGAUAUUCUUUUACAAAAUAUACUUAUCUUAAUAUGUAUAACCGGAGUUUAUAUUACAUGCCCCUCUCCCAACGAUAGUUGUAGUACUCUUAUAAUAGUAGUACUCAUGAAUACAGUUAAUCCGGGUUGUUGGGAGAGAUCACAUGCAUAAAUACAACAUGAAACAAACGUGUGAAAAAGGUACAUAAAAUCGGUGUGACCCGUUCUUGUAUUAUAAGAAAUCAACUUGCUUAGGCCUUGCCGGACUCCUCACAACCCGGUGGCUUGAAGGCGAUGAAGCUGAUGCACUGCACUUGCCUGGUGUUGUCGAAGCCGAUGAUGCGGACAUAGGCGUCAGGGUACUCCUUCUUCACCUCCUCCAGCUCCUUUAGCACCUGCGUGGCGUCGGUGCACCCGAACAUGGGAAGCUUCCACAUUGUCCAGUACCUGCCGUCGUAGUACCCGGGAGAGUUGCCGUGCUCACGGAAGACGAAACCGACCUUGCUGAACUCGAGGCAAGGAACCCACUUGGAGCGGAUGAGAUACUCGAUCUGCUUCAAGAGGGACUCCACGGUGAGAGGCGGCAGGUAGGAAAGGGUUUCGAACUUCUUGAUGCCCUCAAUUGGCCACACCUACAAUUAGAUUAAUAAUUAGCACCGAAAGUAUAAUUUGAGACACAUAUCAGUAUUUCACUUCAACAUAUGUACAUGAUGACAUACAUACCUGCAUGCACCUGAUCCUUCCACCGUUGGAGACGCUGCCGAGACCAGCGCUGGCUGAGCGGCGGCCGAUGGGGAGCCCGGCGGUGGACUUGAGGCCCUGGAAAGGAGCAACGGCAGUAGCCGCUGACGACAUCACUGUGGGAGCCAUCGUACACGUACGUAGAUAGCUAACAAGAGGAGGCAGGCUUGCUUGAGUGCUCUCUAGCUACAGCGGCUUAUAUAACUGUAGGCUCCCCACCCAUCCAAUAUCAGCACAAGAUCUAGGAGGGGUGGCUGCAGUUCGCCGCGCGGAUUUGCCCAGGCCACGCUGGCAUCCUACGGAUCAGGUCGGGCGCCACAUGGCCGCACGAAAUGGCGCGCGUUAUCCUCUGGACGGAUACAAUUGGCUGCAACGCACUCUGCAAAUCAUGCCAUGAAGUGACCAAUUUUCACCUAUCAGGAUAGAUCCAAUGUGCCACGGCAUGCACUCAAAAACAGAACUUGCUAAUCCCUCCAAUCCAUAAAAAAUCUCGCCCACUUAUUAGAAAAUUUGUAAUGAGUUAAUGCAAAAUGAGCAGCACUUUUUAUGAACUAGAGGAACAACAAAUUAAGAGAAACUCUUCUAAGAUCUUAUCGAGAACGAAGCUUGCCCCCGCGUCGCUCAGUCUGGGGCGACACGGGCGGCAACCACACCAGCCCCGGCAGCAGCCUCUCCCCGUCCUCUCCUCCCCCUCGCCGCCGCCGGGCAAAGCCCGCACGGGGACGGCGGCGGCGGGGCUGUUUUUCUUGGCGGGGGUGUCCUAGAGCUCUUGGCUGAGGCGUUUGAGGUGCUGCCUCAUCGUGGUCGCGGCGUCUCCGGCCCGAUCCGGCAGGCUAUGCCUCGUCUUCGGCUAGAUCCGGCCGGCUUCCUCCCGGAUCCGGUGUUUCCCCUCGUUCUUCCUCUCCCUGGUGCUCGGUCUGCUCGUGGCUGCGCGGCUUCACGGCGGCGCUCUUCGGCCGGAUCUAGCUACUCGUUGGCCAGAUCCGUCAUCUCCUCCGGCUGAUCCGGCAUGUCCCAGGUCUCUUCGUUUCCAUCAUUUUUCCUCUCAGUUUGGUGAGGCGGCUGAUUGAACUUCACCGGCGGCAGAUGGGCUGCUGCUGCGGCCAUACAUGGUCCAAGUCGGUCCUUUUCGAUGCCAUGGUGGCGUGGUUUUCAUUUUCGGUCGCGUCUUCGGCUGCUGCCCGUGUGCGAGGUAUGGACGUCGGCUCCGGUGUUUGGAGUGUUGCUCUGGAUGAAAACUGCCCGUGUGCGAGGUAUGCCGAAGACAACGAUGUUGUAGCGCCGUUUUCCUUCUUGGAGGUGUCGUCGAAGAGCUUCACUUUCCCUCACUUUGAUGUUUGGUGUCUUCGGGUGAAAACCUAAGAUUUGGCUAUGGCCAGAUCGGGCGACAACGGCGUUUUUACGUCGAUUUCCUCCUUGGGGGCGUUGUCAUGGAGACAACGACUCUUGGUGGCAUCGGGUGGUGUGGUCCGUCUAUGGUGGAGCUUGUUGUCUCGAGUUGUUGAAGGUUUGGUGGUGUCUCUUCUUGUGUCAUGUGUUAGCUUAGGCUGUCGGUUUGUGUCCGGCGAGAACGUGCGUUUCUUAUCCUUUGGUGCGGUUUCGGCAUGUGAUGCCUUUCGUCUUCACUAUCGUCACGUAGGUGUCGUGUUGUAUUCUCGGUGGUGUGUGGUCUUUCGGCUUAGCCAACGGCAAGUGGAGGUAUGAUCUCGGUUGUGUAUUGCCCUUCGACUUCAUCGGCGGCACAUCGGCGUCGCGGUGGGUCUCAGUGACGCGCAGCCCUUCGACUCUGCCGGCUACGUAGGUGUCAUGGUGCGGCCUUGACCCUGUGCUUCCCUUCAGCUACGGCGACGACAUAGUGUCUGGGUGGGCUCGUCAGAUCGACGCCUUUCGACUACAUCAACUAUGCUCUUCAUUGUGCAUUUAUUUUGCCAUUGACAUGUUUCAAGAGUCUAGGUUUUUUCCUUGUGUUUCUUUUAGCAAAUGCUGUUCUGCAGGCUGGCUUUUGCCCACCCGAUCAGAAAAGAAAAACAAAUUAAAGGCUAAAAUCAAGCGAUGUUAUAUUCCCUUAGCUAUUACAAAUAUGGAUGAUAAGAGUUAUUUAUCCUUUUUCAACGAGUAACCCUUUACUUGGAAGUUCCAUGUGCAUGGCGCUGCAAGAAAACAAACAUCAUAAUGGGGCAAGACUUUUUUUUUUAUAAACAUCCAAUUUGGGUUAAAGUCUGAAAGAAUUUGGCUAUCUGAACUUUCAGUUUCCACAUUCUUUUACCUACUCAAUUCUUCAGCCAACAGGAUCAAUGGCGACCUACUAACACCAACCAGAACACAUGGGUCACAAACACGAAAAAGGGCUAGAAGGCUACUUAUACACACUCAUGUGUACUGCGAGCAAAAGAACAUAAUGUACAAAACUUUACAAAAUCUAGGGAAUUAAGACCUUCCCGUAUGCUGUUGCUGCCGCUGCUGCUUCAUGCUGGCUCUCCUGGCAACAUCCCAUGGUUUGUGAGGCACACCUACACCUUGCUGGGAUGCGAAGAACGACUCGUAUCCCGGGGAGUCGAAAGCAAAACCAGUGUGCUUGGAGUUCUCUCGAGGGAGCAUGGAGAUCGCAUAGCUUCUUGCUUCUUCUGGGCUCAAAUGGCUCCUCUCAGGCAGAUGUAUCAUGCUGUAUUCGUGGGGGUCAUCCUUGUGCAUCUCCUGGAUUACUUGGUAGUCAUAGGGAAAGAGCCAUCUUUGGAGCCUGAGAAAGCACACAGCAUCAAAGACAACAAUUGAUUCAGCUACUUCAGUAUGUACAAUGGAAGGAAUAACAAACGGAUGGCAUUAACAAACAUAUAAUUUUGCAAAAGAGCUGGUAUCUUACGAUAGAUACAGGAAAUCACCAAAGAGAGCGAUGACUGGAGCAAGCAUUAGUGUGAGGUAGAAGAAAAAGGUACUCAUCAGAACAUAAAUCACAAAAUAUACAUUUUCCUGCACAAGGUACACAGCAUUAAGUCAAUGCAUUUGUAGCAAGUAAUCGUCAUCAGCAGUGUAAUAGCUACAUUAUUCACCCACCUGUCGGUCAAAUGAUGUCAUUAUCGCAGAAUAUAUGAAGAUAAACAGAAACCAGGCCGCUAUACUGCCAGCUACGCUGAAAUAAUGCCAUCUCGUGAUAGAAUUGCACGACAUGAGGAGACGUAGAUUAACAGUCACCACAACACAAGUAAAGGCCAUCGUGCUAACAUCCCAUUGACCAAGAAUCUUGCCAGAUGAACCGUGACCAUGCUGACUUGCAGCUGCAGUAAAGUAAUAGAACACUAUUGACUGGUAGAAGGCAAAGAAACCCCACACCGCAAUCACUUUCCACCGGAAGAAUGUGUUCCUAAUUCCUUCUUGGUAAAGUUGUGGGUAUUUUUUUGAUAGAGAUGCACUCACAUCCUGAAAGGGUUCAGUUUAGUGAAUGUAGCAAGGAGCGUCACUCCAGAACAAGAAAAGUAGAACAAAUACAAGCAACCAUACCUUAUCAAACAACCCAACCAUAAUUACAGGUAGUGCCGUGAAAAUGACAUUAUACAGAGACUGGAACCAGUCAUCAUAAAAUCGCUGACCAGAAAAGCCAGUUUGGAAAGUGAACCAGAACUGAGUUAGUGUAAAAGUCAGAUUCUUGUAGAAGAAGUAUGUGAUAACCUGAAACAGAAAGUGUCAAUGUUAAAAAAAUUAAACUACACAGAUUGGCAGCUACAAGCUAAGGGACCAAAGCAUACCUUGCACAAUCUCAAGUAUGACCACCGCCCAUGUACAAGAAGUAAAUCCGUAAGAUAUCGAAACUGAGCAAUGGCAAAAUCACUCGCCAUAACAGCUUGCAUUCCUUCUUGUCCGCUGAUGCCAAUACCAACAUGAGCAGCUUGAAUCAUACUCACAUCAUUAGCACCAUCACCAAUACUGAGAGUUAUCUUACGUGCACCUUUCCUAACUAAACUUGCAACCUACAAAUGUGUCAACAUUACAUGUUUUGGCAUCAUUCGAACCCAACAGGUUAUUAGGAAAUAAAUCCAAAAAUAAGAGACUUUGAGAUUGCUGAUGGGAUGGGUAACAACCAAAUAAGCACAUAUACAAUAAGUUAAUUAAUACUACCUUUGUUUCAAAAUAUUAUACCAAAACGUCUUAUAUUUUGAAACAGAGAUAGUACUUAUAGUACAAGAGUGUACAGGACAUUUAGUUAAGAGGCCAAAACUAGAAUAGCAAAAGCAACCAAUGCACAGUGGUUAAUAAUGAUCUUGUGAAUCAUGCACAAACUAUUUUGUUGUCAAGGUACAAAAUUGGAUCCUUUAAAAUGUAAUAAUAUCAAUAUCCCCCGUUUAUUGCCCAAGCAUCCUGAAAGGCAUGCAGCUGAGAGCUGCAGACCAUACUGCUAAUUAUUUCAUGGGAAAAGGCAAGGCAUGCAUGAUAAGAACGCUAAAAGCGAGAAUUGAUAUUUACCUGUGCCUUUUGCAGUGGAGAAACUCGACAACAUACAACUGAUUGGCAAAUUAAACUCAAACCAAGAAGAUUCACACGCAGAGCUGGGUCUAGAGCGUACAUCAAGCAUCGUCCAUCAAUAAUGAAAGCCAACUUUCGUCCUGGCGUGCUCCUCAAAGAACGGUGGGCUUCCUCAAGGUAACUUCUCAGACUCUGUUUUACCGAGUCUUUGAUAACACGUGCAAUUUCCACAGGGUCUCCCUGAAAAUGACUGGAACAUUAUUCAUGGCAAAGAUAUGUGCAUAAGUUGAUUUACAUCAAUCAGAUACAAAUGCUAAAUUGCUAAUUAUGGUUGAUCAAACUGCAAAACACACGAGAUAUCCAAAAGGCUAUAUAAACAUGAUGGAGAGGCUAAAGCACUGAAACAACAGAAUCAACAUAAAGUAUUUUGUACUAUUAUGCAACUAAGCCUUUUGUCCCAAGCAAGUUGGGGCAGGCUAGAUAUGAAACCCAAACAGAAACUAAAGCAAAGUGCAGGUAACAAAAGAGCAAGAGAGUAAAUCAAGGUUCAGGCACAUGGACUGCUGAUUUCCAUGCAGCCCUAUCAAAAGCAAAAUCUCUAGAUACAUUCCAGUCCUUCAAGUCCCUUUAACUGCCUCCUACCAAAAGCAAAUAUCAUAGUAAUCCACCAACCAAAGUAACAAGGGAACUACUUGUAACUUCUUAGUUCACAAGUACAUACCAGUUGAGCUAUCCAAUUAUUCUAAAUAAUAUGGUUUGAUACCUUUACCAAAGUCUCAACUUGUAUUCAUUUUAAAGCUUAUACAAGAUAUUAUAUGUUAUGGCUUAACAGUCUCCAUGACACAAUAUGGCUUGACUUCACAGUUUAAUUCUAUAGGAUUAUCUUACCCUGUCUUCAGCAUCUCUAAUUGCAUCUGUCUCAGAAGUGAUGAUGAAUUGUUUUGUAUCGUUAUUCACCAGGCUGCACGCUGCAGAGCAAAAACUAAAUAACUUCAGAAGCUUUUCUAUGUCAGGUGAAAGAGAGAGAAAAAGACCGCCCGCCCCCCACCAAUAAUCCAAAACUGAGCUUCUAUUAGACCCCUUAAGAACGAAACAAGCAUGCAAAUUGAUCUAUAUAUAAUUAAAACCUCACCAUAUGCUAUAUUAAUUGCUGUUUCCAUUUUAUCUCCAGUUAGCACCCAAAUUUUUAUGCCAGCUGCAGAAAGAGUUUCAAUGCAGGCUGGAACCCCUUCUUGCAGUUUGUCUUCUAUUGCAGUGCACCCUAUCAAUAUAAGGUCCUUUUCAAUCAACUCAGCCACCUACAGGGGAAGAAACAGAAGGAAAUUAUAUGGCAAUGUCCCAGCAAUAUCUUAAAUCAGAAUAUACAUUAAGUCUAUUACUUCAAAUUCCUUUUUCCUAGAAAUCACAGUGAACUUAGUACAUGAAAGAAUGAAAGGAUAAUGCUUUUCUAAUGGGGAUUUGAAAAAACAUCAUAAAAAUAAUAAUAUAAAGUACUGUAUGUUCUUGUUCUAGAUAAAUUACAAAUAUCUUUUGCUCAUGAUCCUCUUUCCUGACUAAAAAAUAUAUAUUAUUAUGUAAAAUACUAAUGUUCUAUGGCAGUACAAGAUAAUAAAUUAGCACAAAAAACUAUUAAACUGCAAAUGUCAGCUGUUAGGGAUGGAUGACAUGACUCCUGUAGUUUUGGGGGGAGAGAGAGAGGAGACACACUGAACAAAUUACUUCCUUCGUCUCCAAAGAUUGCCAUGCCACAUUCUAUUCGGUCAGUCAACCUUUUACAACUUCAAAAUUAACAAUUAUAAGUGAAUUGAAUUACUACAUGAAAAAUAACAGCACUCAAUUUGCUUGCAUAAUAAUUUGUACGCAAAACUUUUGCUUGUAUAUUAGCAUAGAAAUCAUAGCCAGAGUUUUAUGUUGGGAGAAUAUAAAAUUAAAAAAUGGCCUACAUUUGUCAGGUACAUUCAGUUAAUUGUUUCCAAAACCAAAUUAAUUUUCAUACAUAAAUACCAAACGGAUCAAUAGCAUGCUCAACAGUGCACAUGAGACUCGAGUUCAGUACUGGAUGACAGAAAGUAAAAAAAAUCAGGCAAGCACUAGAAGGUGGAGGGGAAGUAAUCGAAAUUCAAAUCACAGGGACUGUUCAGCCUGUAUACUCAACAGAAGAGGAUGGUACACAUACCUCAUCAAGCUUCUUAUCACGAUCUCGUAAAGAAGAUUUAGCUUGAACAAACUUCUCAUUCCAGCUUUCGUACUGCUCCCUGCUUAGAUCUCGAUAAGCAAGGCAAAGCGUGCGCAAGCCAGCAGAGCCAAAUUGUUCUAGAUGUUCUCUGCUUGUCUUUUUAAUGUCAUGAUUUCCAUCAGCUAACCGUUCAAAAAUGACAUUAUCAGCGCCCUGUUACACAACAUUUGUAUAAGGUUAGUGCAUCAAUCUACAAAGUGAUAGCUACAUAAAGAUUCUUUUUUCUUGUAUUACCUUGCAAUACAGAACAAGUUUUCCAUUUGGGAAACGGCAAACCACAGAUUGGCGCUUUCUUGUACUGUGAGUGCAGUAAAGUGUGAAGUGCAGAACAAUGAUUUCAUCUUGUCAAAUUUAAAUUGAAAACAGAUAAACCAGACCUGUUGAAUUCCAAAACAUUCAGAAUUUCAUAUGCAACAUCUUGUAUACUCCCCAUCCUCUCAACAUGUGAUUCCCGAACCAAGACUGUGGUUGGCGUACGUCUACAAGACAGGCACAAAAUGUCAACCACCGGCAUUGCCAUUCACAAUAAAAAUGCCACAUGAAAUAAUUUGCAACAAAAAUCAUAAGAACUUAGAUGAGUUCAUGUUCACAGCACUUGCUUUAACACUUGUCUUAAUUUACAACGGCAAUUUUUUGUUGAUGGGCUAAUAGUUUAUUUAUGCUUCUUAGUAUGUACAUUCAGUCCUUCAUACAACAAACUAUAUAAGCAAUAACCUGGGUGAGUGACUCUUUUAUGCACAUUUUCCUUGGGACCAUAGCAUAGUUUUUUAAGAUACCUUGUUUGCAACAAACUGAUAAGAGGAAUCUAUAACUGUAUUUAAAGGCAAGGUAAGACAUGCCUAUAAAAGAAGAAACCAAAAUUCUUCGCAGCAGCGACAAGCGCGGCCUCGUCGGGAGAGGCAGCUUGAUAAGUAAUCUUUUCCGGUGUCUCCUCACCCUCAGGAAGAACUGUAUGACAGAUUGCAAGGCAUCUGCAGAAUUGCUAUAGAGCAAAUAACAAAGUUGUUACACAACUAGCACAUUAACAAGGGAAAAUGUGAAAAAGGAAAAUAGGUUCCAAAUUUUAUUAGUAAGGGCAUAUAUCGUGAUAUGUGAAUAAUUUGUGUCAACUAAAUCAAAACUGAUUAUGACCAAAGGGGAACCAAUCGAACUAUUCCACAGGUAGUCCCGUAUUUACCACGCAAGCAUCAGGAUUAGGUUCAUUUCUCCAUGCACCACGCAUUAUUCUAGCAUCAUCAAAGUUGAAUCCUUUCUCAUGAACUGCAGUGGCUGAUCUUUUACCCUAAAAAAGGCAAGUAAACUGGAUAUUAAAUCAGUUGUGCAUUAAAUUUUUCAUCAUAUACCACCACACUUCAAUAGCGUAAACAACAAAGAAAAUGUUGUAGACCUCAUCAUCAUCAAUCUUGACUCCGGCUCGCUCGGCUCCUCCUUUUUCAAUCUCUGUGAUGCCAGUUCCAUAUAUUUCCCCUCCAAUCGAACAUUUAAAGAAUUCCAUCAAGUUUCUUGUAAGUGUUCCAGUUUUGUCAGAAAAUAUAUACUCAACCUGAACCAUUAGUGGGGCAAAAAAAAUUUGGCAGAAAUGUCAAAUUAUUUGCAAGUGUUAAGUGCAUUUUAGUACCACUCGGCAUUUGUUCAGUCAUAUAAGCAUUUCUGGGGAUCUAGAACAGUUUUUCGGUGGGAGUAAGUCACUUAAUAUUAGUGAAAUGAGACUGUUCCCCAAGUGCUUAUAAUUGAUCCCACUUUCUGGAAUGAGUCGGUGCAGUGAGGUCAUUCUAUCCAUUAACCAAACCCAGCCAUAUAGGUCAAAUAAGUAAAUAACCCCAUUUCAGCAACAAACAAAGGGGCUUUCAUCAAACUAAACAGAAUGCUAAGGAACAAAAAAAAAACUGAUAUUACCUGCCCAAGCUCCUCAUUCAGAUUAGAAGUCCGAGCCAAAGCUGGGGUGUUGCUCUCGGCAUGAUACAUAUUCAGAUCAUUGUUAAUAAACUUUGCACACUGAAUGAAUUUGAUCAUCUGCCAGCCAAAAUAAACAUAAGGUCCAAUCCAAAUACAGGGUACACUAAAUGAUAAAUUGGUCAAUAUACCUCAAUGGAUACAUAAAGAGAAAUGGGGAUGAUCGUUGAGUAUAGAGUUAUUAGAGUAAACAUAGUUAAAAUGGUCACCUGCAAAAGUACAAACCUAUGAUAUAAGGCCACUUAGAGAAUAUUCUCUACAAUAAAUUAACUAAAAUAAUAUAUACCACAAAUCUGUUCUUGGGAUUAAACUGGUCCUCGACACGCCCACGCAAUCCAAGAUAGAAGUAUUUCUCAUUAAUAAACACGCCACUGUUCACAAAAGCCAAGUAUGAUGAGUCCAUUGGUAGAGUUUUAGGUUUCUAAAGAACGUGCAAGCUAAGCAGUCAUAGUUACCAAAAUCUAUAUGCUGAACAGAGCACUUCCAUUUCUGACCAUCUAGAAAGUGCCCUAUUAUGUACCUCCCACAUAAAACCACUAAGAAAAAAGAUAAGGCUAUUAAGACCUAGUCAUGUGCUCAUCUAUACUGCUCCUAUGCCACAAUAAAAAAAUAACUUCCCCAAACAAGCUCCUGACAACUCAUGUCAUAAUGUUUAAAGUUUAUCUCUCUAUUAACAGUUGUUUUUUCAUGAUCAAUUAAAUUGUGAAAAAUGAUUGUGCAAGCAUAAGCCUCCACAACAUCAACCUAACCGAUAUAACUCAUGUUCAGAGAAUAUACAUGUAAACAAUAAUACAAGAUAGAUAAGUCAAAUAAAUGAAGUGGGCCAAAUAAAACACUGACCUUCCAAUAGCACCAAUGACACACAUCGUAAAGAGGGUUGCAAAUAGAGCAAGAAUAAGCUUGUCUAGUUUCUUCUCCAAUGUACUUCUUUUAGAGGGAACAUUCAUAGAAUUCAUCAUAACCUGCAAUAGUGUCCCACUGCAGUAAAUCUCAAAACUAGAAGCACAUCUAACCUACAAGUUGAAUAUAUAGGGACACAAAAUUGCACAUACUUUCGUCUCAUGGCCCGUGAAUAUAACAGCCGCGACAAUGUACUCUGUAUUACGAAGGCUGCAUCCCUGUGGCAAAGUGGUAAUAAGAGGUUGCAUGUGUGCCACAUAAAGAGAGAGAAUUAAGUGUCAUGCAAGACACCGUUCAGUCUGGUGAAAGUAAACAUUUCUUUUGCACUUUACAAACAUUGCUUCAACCCUUCACCACUUAUCCUACAUAUGGGACUAGAGAAGAAAUGGAAGUUGUUUAUAUGAAUGUUAAACAUUUCCAAAUUGUUUAUAUCAUAGCUAUCCUUGUUUGCAAACCAAUAAGAACAAUAUUAUUAUAGAGGUGUUUUAUGAUGAAAAUUUCUGCUGGUGACAUUUGGGUGUCGUCAAUAUUGGUAUUUGGAGGAGAUGUUGGUGAUCAAAGUUAAAGGCCGAGUAAAGGCAUCACGCUAUGAUGUUAUUUUUUACCUGAGGGAUUUUCUUAACAAACUCAUGCUAAAUCUAGAACAUGCAAACAACUUUGCAGGUGGACAAUCUUGUAAAGAAAUUUCAAGGGCAUGUUUGUGUGAGGGGUAUUACUUUGGUACGUGUUGGUAACUACAUACCUAAUUGUUACAAGAAAAAUCUCAUCCAAACAAGCCCUAAGGACAUUAUGGACCUUGCUACUGCAAAGUUGGUAAGUCGAAAAUACGACAGGAUGUCUGAUUGAUAUGUAGGACCUGGACCCACAUGUCAUUCUCACAGCGAGUCGCACUAUUUCAAAUGUCAACUUUGUGGUGGCAUGGUUUCAAUUUUCCCAAUAAGAAACUAGAUACAAAUAGCAUAGAUGAACAGCACUUACCCUUAGUAGUAUUUGAUUUGGUGAAAUUGGUAUAGUUUGCUUGUCCACAAUAAGGUUCCCGGUAAAUGUAUAAAGUGAAUUGUUUGGCUGUUCGCAUUGUAUUUCACCUGUAAGCCAUGAAACAUACAGAUAAUGUGAAGUUAAGAAAAUGUAGAAUAGUUAAGUGAAGUUCAGAAAAGGAGCAAUGCUUCCUACACCAACUACCGAAAAAUGUCUGCAACAUGGAACAAGAAUAGAUAAAAACCUUUGAAUUCAGAAGCCUUUUCAGGAAUUACGCAGUCCCAGGUUUUCUCCAAAGCCUUCCUUAUUUUCAGGUUAGUUUCCCCAUCAAGAUUUGCUGUCUAAGGUAAAUAGAAGUAUGAUACACUUCAAUUAAAACAGAGUUUCUCUAAAUCAUUCAAUAAUUUCAAUUUGGACAAAAGAUGGAGAAGGUAAGAAUGAAUAUAUUGACCUCUAUGUAGCAGACACCAUCAGGGUUCGUACUUGAUAGGAAGAGCAAGUCAGAAGGAAAGUAAGUGUCUUGCUUGAUCUGCUCUAAAGAAGUGCCAUCACUAUUAGUCUUUUUGGAUAUGUGUAUCGAGCUGAAGAUUAAAUUUGCACAGCACAAAAGAUCAAGUGCAUUAAUUUGUGGAAGCAACAGAUCAAUUGAAUUGAUCAUCAAAUUGCUAUCAGGAAAGAUGAAGACAUUACCCUCACAAUAUCUCCAACCUGCAGUCUUUUCCAAGGGGCACUUUCCCAUUUUUGACCUUGCAAUACAUCGACGUGCGCAUUAUUAAUUGACAUGUCAUUCUGGAAACGUUUCUGUAUAAUGGGAGGCAAACAAAAAGGGAAGAAUAUCAGAUAACAUUAAGAAUAGCAAUAAAAUAGUGGAGCAACAGAGCAUGAGAGCAAUACUAACCCAGUCCUCAAAAGCUUCCUUGAUGAGUGAAACCAAAAGCACUAAACUAAGUGGAACCACAUUGGUGACAGGGUGGACUGGACUGCGAAGAUACAAGCAUGUAUGAACUAAGAUUUCUAGAAGUAAAGGUGAAGGAAAGCAAAGGAUGACUGAAUCAACUGAUGGACUUGAUAUGCUAAGAAGUGUCUAGCUGUAACAUGAGAAUUCCAUAGGGUGCAUGCAUGAGAGAGAGAGAGAGACCUAAUUGGUGUAGUCGACAAGAUUGAAAUCAUAAGAAAGUAAAGAUUUGCCACCCGUCUGAACUGUCAAAGCAAAAAAAAAAACAAAUGAAUUACAAAAGGUUCCUAUGGUCAAAUUGCGAUAAUACAGAAAGGGAACAUCUAAAUCGGUGUUACAGCUACCAUUGCAAAGUUUCUUUAUUCGAUAUGGAAAAAUGCAUUACAUGUUUAAUGUAUGAAGCCAUUGAAAUACUUUAAUGUACCUUACGUAAAAAACAGUGGAUAAUGAAAUUGCCAGAAUUAUGGUAUCGCAUAAAAUGAAGGUUACAUUGAGCGAAAAGCAUGAUCAGGGCUUUACCAAAUAACAAAAUCAUACUUCUCCUUUUCUCAAUAUAUGGCAUUUUAGGUUUCAUUGAAGACAAGUCUUUGAAAAGGAUUUACUUUGUGUUGUUUUUAAGGCAUGAAAUUUAUAUCACUAGAUUCAUCCUCAAAAGUACUUAAUGUGGAUUCAUAUCAUAUAAAUCACAUAUUAAUGAAGUAAUUCUUGGUCAAAGUCUUGUAUUAACGAAACCUAAUAUGUCCUGUAUUGACAAAAUGAGGGAGUAUAUUAUCUAACAGUGCAUGUAUACAGGCACGAUACUGGUAGCGCGUAUUACAAGCAAGGUAUCUUAAAAACAUUGCAACACAGUGCCAGACCAGGUAAGCAACUAAGCAUCUCAUGUAUCCACUAUUUUAAGGGAAGUUGAUCCAGAGUGAGGAAAUAAACAUUUUUAAGGAGAUAUAUCAAUUUGCAAUGUGAAAAUGAUACGGAGUAGUAUAAUCAUUUCACUGUGAUAACAAAUACUCCCUCCGUUCUAAAUACUUGUCGCUGUUUUAGUGCAAACUAAAACAGCGACAAGUAUUUAGGAACAGAGGGAGUAACUUCCAUUUACCGUUAGACAUGAUACAAAAUAAUAUGUUGAAAAAAAAUCUAGCCAAAAACUAAAAAACAAACAGAAAAUCUGCAUUAAACGAUGACAAACCCAGCAGGUAUGUUGAUUAACAAAAUAUGUAUGAACAAAAAACAACGCAUCAAUACCUGUUCAAACAAUCCUUUAGGUAGAAAUGUCAGCACACUGUACUUUGUAGUCGACACAGAAUUUCCCUGGAAAUGUAGAAUGAGAAUGUUAAAGAACUAAUUCUAGCAGAAAAACAAAGUAGCGCUCUGCAUUAGAAUCGCGAUGGUCUGAUACCCAACAUGAGGGAGAUUCUGAAACUAAACAGAAGAGCUAAUUGCAACUAGAAGCAUGAAAAAAGUAUAGCUUGAUCUUUUUACAACAUCAAGUCUGAAUACAUUCAAGCAUUUACACUAACUUGGAACAAAAUGUGGGUGUCAAAGAAAAUGCAUGAAUACACCUACUUACAAUAAAGCACCAAUUUUGCAGUGAUUGGACAAACUAUGGUUAAAAUACUUAAUAAUAGAGUUCUACGUAUUUGGAGGCAUAAAACGCAUUGCAGUUGGAGCAGUGGCAUUAUCAUGUUAGUCAGUCUAACAUGGCAGUGAAUGACGUGAAUUUUUUGCUAGUUUAGACCUCUGGCCAGCGCAAUUGACAAAAAUGCCCCCCUCUCAAAACUAAUGCCAAAAAUGGUCUGGCAGAAGGCCCGAAAGGCGCCACAUUUCAUUUUUCGCCAUCUGAGCUGCGCAUGCAAACAUUCCGACAACCUGAAAGGCGGAAAGGCCGUUCCGCCUACUGCAUUUGAUGAAUGCACCUGACAAGGGCGGAAGGUGAACUGGGCCCUGCAGAUGGAAGCAAUUUCCACAUUUGUUACAGACCUGGAAUCUUUUUUUUUGUUGGAGUCGACGGACCAUGUAUGUGCGGAUGCAUAGGAAUCGGCAAGCAGCCUAGCUGCUAGUUCACGGGCACGUUUUACAUUUUCUUUCCUCAGGUUUGGCUAGUGCUACCACGUUGAUACUAAUCAACGCUUCUUGUGAAUGGGCUUAGUUGCUUCUACUAGUCGUGCGAGCGUUAAUCUUUUCUCUGUGCGCCUGCAUGUGCGGGCGUGGGAAUCGGGUCAGGUCCCUGCAGACAGCACGCCUGGCUGCACUGGGCCUGCUUCAGCUUCCGCCCCUGAAAAUUCACUUUCGUCCAUUUCAACUGGAAACAAGUAGGCUCCACCUGUCCUGUUGGCGGAAAGUUCAUUCCUCCUACCCAGUGGCCACUGGGUCAGUUGCUGGGCUUUCCACCACGUCAUUUUUCAAAUUAUAUUUCAGAUGGAGCUAUUUUUGCCAAUUCCGUUUGACAAGGGGCUACAAGAGCAAAGAAAUUGAAUGACAUAGCAAGCAAUCAAUUUCCCCUUAUAGGUAAAUAAUAAACAGCUUUGCUUCAGCUUACUGUCAUCAGCUGGUGGCUGACUGCCCUGACCAAACACAAGUUCAGUAAUCUACACAGCAAGCGGCACACAGGUGCAGCUAAGCACAUGGAUGAACAGAAUAUUCCAGCCAUUGAGGCUCAGCUCUCGAAGCUUAAUGCCAGGUGGCAUCUACAUUGUAUUGCAGCCCGUAGCACCCUGAUUGACUAGUAACCCAACAAUGAGACAAGCUCUAAUCCACCCAAUGACCUCACAGUUGGCAAGAAAUGCAGCCCUUAGUGACACGCACCACCCUACAUAACUUUCUCGUGGACUAAUCAGUAUGAAUCAUAUAAACCCUCUGCAAGCUGCAGUGAAAUAAAACUACUACUACUGAACUAGCUAUUGUCCCAGAUGGCCAUCUCCAACCCAACCGCCCAAGCAUGAAACAAGGGGCCAGUUACGAGAUCUAGGCCUACAGACCCCUAGACCUUGAGACAACCGACCUGUUGAUCAUCCGAAUUAGAGGAGGAGGUGCACACCCGUACCUUGUACCCGACCGGCGCGUUGGCUUCGCGGUCGUUGCAGUAGAUGGUGCGCACGGUGGGUGCCUGCGGCUGCGGCUGCCGUCGGAGGCUGCCGCCCCCGCCGCCGAGACGCGCCGUCCUGGACGCCUCAGCGCGGCCGGCCUGAGAGGUCCCCCCCCGCGGCGACUGCUCGCCGCCCAGCCGCGCGGUGGCAACCCGCAUCAUCUCCUUUAUGCGCGAGCUCAUCCUGCCCCCCUCAGCGCCAAACCCAGCGCUGGAGGAGCCGGCGGGAGAUCUGGGGAAACCUCACGGUGGAUCGGAGGGGAGACCUAGUCGGAUUUGCGCGGCUUUCUGGUGGAUUUCAGUGCCUCGCUGAGGAGGGGAUUCGAUUUGGGUCACGCGUUCCCGUAUGUGCGUAUUUUUUCCGUGUAAUUUUUUUGUUUUGCCUUUUUCUUUUCCUUUGGCUCCGGGAGAAGAGAAGACAGGAGGGGAAGGAAAAGCGAAGGUCGCGACUUCGCGAGGAAGAAAAUGAAGGGAUUACUGCAGAUCACACCCUUGAUUAUUUUCGAAUAUGGAAAGCUCCAGUAACUGAAGUUUGAAAUUCCAGCCGCGUUUGUCUUUUCCUUCUUCGAGCAAACAACCGUGUUCUUGACUUGUUCUAUGUUUUUGCUGUCCGGAGGACUACCCGAUUUGCAAGUAAAUAAUGGCAUUAAUUUCAUAUAAGCACUUUAGGACACCACACUUGACAUGGUUUUCUACUGACGACGACUAUAUGGUGGCUUUGAUGUUCCAUGAAUAGAUCUUUUUAGCGGUGUUUCAAGUUCAGGUGUUAUAACAAAGCAUUACUCUUGACCUAUCUUCCCUUGCGACCAUGCUUUUUGAAUCGCCAAGUCGAGUCGAAUCGCCCCCCAACAGACUUGGAGGUUAGUAUGAUUAGUCAGAAACUAGUCUCGACUAAUCAACCCAAGUCGAGCCUAGUGAUCAGUGAGGUUUAGGGAGCUCUAGCAGGGAGCAUUAGAGGAAAGGAGUGAAUUGCAGUAGAGGGGAAGCACGAGGGAACAGUUUUUGUGGUGCUGGAGCUUGAAGAAGAGGUUCAUGGCGGCUAGGAUCUAGGAGUCGAUAAACUUAGAACGCCCGUGUUGAGGCAAACGCGUUGAGGAAGACGACUUCAAAGGUGGUUGGCUCAUUAUCAGGAUAGGUGCGUGCCUGGCAGCCCAUAAAGGCCUAUUAGAAAACCCUAACUCCCCCCUCCCCCCCCCCCCCACACACACAUUGCCUUCUUCUACACCACACACGCACCAAUGGCGGCCAUCUUCUUCCCCUUCCCUGCUGCUCCCCAUGCCUUCUCUCCCUCCCCGAAAAGAAAUAUCUUCCGAAAAUUCUUCUCUUCGAGUCAAGUUGAGGGGCUCGCGGCGUUCCUAGUCACGGCGGCUAGUCGGAGAAGUCGCGGUUCUAGCUGACGAGUCGCGCGACUUGCUCUGCUAGUCGAGUCGCGGCUGCAAGCCGCCAUCAUUGUGCUGGCUCGGCGACUAGUUGGCGAUUCAAAAACCAUGCUUGCGUCUUAUAAUUUUGUUUCCUCUUAGAUUUUUUUCAAUUAUGUAUGGAACUCUUUUAAGCUUGGCUAACAUAUUGGGUCAAUUUGUCUCCCAUUGAAAAAAAAACAAUUUCCUAUAAAAAAUAAAGUAUCCACAAAACAAUAUGCAUAGCGCAGUUGUUUUCAAAGUUGUGGAUGAAACUUUGUGUUGUACAGGCAACCACUUAAUAACUUGUUCGGUUGUAGAAUUCCCCGCAUGUAUUGAAGAGGAUUAAGAGAGAUCUAAGGAAAAUUGAUCUGCAAUUCGAUCAUUCCCUCUUAAUCCCCAUCGGAGUGGAAUCAACCGAACGGGGCUAAUGUGGACCAUAUCACCUUGAGGACUCCAUUCUUCUUUUAUGGCAACGUUGCAUGGACCUUGAUAUGAACGCACGUGCCUGCAAUCUCUAUUAUUUUUUCGUAAAUAGCAACUGUCCUUUCUGUAUCUUGUAAUAUGUUUUCUACAAUUUUAUUUGGGAUAUUUCGUCAAGAACCCAAAUCGAUUACAUUUUCCACUUUGGCGAAUGAGUCAAGAUUCUCCAUGUGUUCCAGCGAGGCAACUGCGAGCUACACAUGUAUGGUGAAACAAGCCUCGCAACUUCGUAAGUAACUCCAAAACUACAUCAGCACGUCUCUUGAACUUUGGAAACACACAGACGUGUUCCACGACCGUGAGGCGACGGAGUUAACGGGGCAGCGUUGCCGGAAAGACAAGAGUACCGUAACAAGGCCCAGACUGGGCUGCAUCGGCGUUCUGCCUCUAUUACAAGCGAGAGAUGUUGAACCGGCCAAGGUUAGGCAAGGCAGUCAGCGGGAGGAUUUUUUUUUUUUUGUUGUUGGUUUUGAAGAGGCGCGGGAGGAGAAGAACUUGCUUGACCAGCCCACAAGAUCGUGAACCGGUAUGACAUUGACAUUUUAUUUAGGGCCAGUAACGUGUAAUUAGAAGUACUAGCUUACAUCUCUUCCUUUUUGAACCGUCAGAUCUGCAACCAUAUCAUCUCUCCCCUUUGUCCUCUUCGCUAUGCCGAUUUUAGUGAAACGCCGCUGCCAAAUCUUCACAGGAUUGUGAACCGGCAGCAGCUUCGACCCUUCAAUAUUAUUAUUACAGCUAAAUAAAAGACUGAAAUUAUAGGUGAGGUCCUUUGUUCUAAUCGCCCAAGCGAGCAGAAGCCAAGAGAUUACGUGCAAGCAUAGCAUGGCCAUGUUCGCCAACUCAUGACAUAGUGGCACAGGGACUAACCACCUGGAUUACAUGGCUAGCUUCCAUAUAUGUGCAACAAAAUAUUGGUACCAGGCAGCCAUCUGUGCCACCAACCAUAAACUCCCUGAUCCCAAAAAAUACAAAAUACCAAGAGUUUCCACCCACAUCAGUACAAGUGCACAACAGUUUAAGAGACAAGCCAAGGAUCAUUCCCAGUUUGUGGGAAUAAAUAAGAGUCCGCAGCAAACAGAAAACUCAAAAUCGCUGGCAAAGUUAGGAUGUGGAAAAAAGAAAGGCUUAAAAUGAUCUAGCCAUGGCGUCAGAAUCUAUUAUCAAUGUUUCUCUCUCAAGGAUUUCCCUUCUAUAUAAAGUAUAAUAUUACAAAGGGGCUGCUUAAAUAUCAUGGACUCCUGGAAUGUAAAGAGGGUAAUAAUCAACACUACAUGAGCCUCCUUUUUCCUGAGGCUGCUUCCUAAGACUGACUGACUGCUUCCCCGAGGAUCCACAUACACCCUCCCCUCUCCUCAAGUUCCACCUCCCACCAUGGAAGUUAAACCCCCACCAUGGAUCCGAUGCUAACCAACUGUACGCGACCUGGAGAAAGUCAGUCAGCUUGGUGGUUCAAUCAAGACAGAGCAUCACGAUAUUGCCCAAAUGGUAUAAUUGGCAGGAUCAAUAAGUAGUUUAUGCUCGCAGCAAGAUCCAAAAGAACCAAUCUACCAUGACUAAUGUAUGACAAGAAUGAUGUCUUAUGUCUACUUUCAGAUACACUAUGGUCCAGGUGAAACAAUAUUUUAAAGUUUAGUAAUUACUGGCAGUAGUAGACAGACCACAGAAGUGUAAAGAUAUUUGCACACAUGACCUUUUAAUCCAAGGCUAACCCAACCUUGUAAGCUACGUGCUGUUUGUGCUAACGCUGCUGCUUGAAUGCAAUUAGACAGUGGUGAUGUCCUUGUUAGUCUGUUACAUACCUAAGGCAUCACCUCCUGAUUCUAGGUUUGCACCGGAACUCUGCUAAGAGCGCUAUGUGAUCUGAUGACCAUUCAGGUGAAGGAAGAGCAGUGUCUUUUCUUAAGCUCUCCUCAUCCAGAAGUUCCAACAAAGACUCCACGGUCAACGAAUCCGCUGAAACAAUAAAGGAAACAUGAUCAACUGACCAUAAUCAAACAUAUCACAAUACUACAAGCUGAUUCUGAAGCAAUUCCCAGAAGUCUAAAUACAGCAUACAGGUCAGGUACCUACCUGUGUAAAAUAUAUAAUCAACAGUUCCAGUGAAAUCCCUUGUGCAAUUUGUGAAAAGUGGUUCAUUUGUUCCUGGAUCCAUCCUCCUUCGCUGGUGCUCUAAAUCAUAGCCAACACCUACCAUUCUUGCAAAUGAAGAAUAUGCACUGACCUGCAAACAAGUAAACAUUGGUCAGAAUUUUAAAGGAAGAACAAGAUAGACAAGCUUGAUAGUUUUACUGUACCAGAGGAAGCUGGUGCGUCAACUUGCUCACGGGGCGUAAAAUUGAAAGUGGGUCUAUGGCCAGAUCUGGAUGCAAUUGAUCAACUUUGCCCACCGCAAGAAGCCCAUGUGGAGUACUGAAAGACAAAAGGAAGCACUUAGAGAUUUAAAGUUAGAAAAAACAAGUAAACCUGAAAAAUAUUGCUCCAAUAGAAUCUUGACAUGCACCUCCCCGGGAUUGAAUUGAAAUCCCCACAGACCAACAUUGGAAUGUCUGCACUGUUGGCUAUUUUCUCCAAUCCUUUUAGUAGUGUUUGAACCUGCAAAAAACAUACUUACUUUCGAUCUGAAUUUUUCAGAUGUUGCAGAAUGCUAGCCUACAGAGAAUGUGACAAUACUGACCUCCCAUAGUUUCACAUCUUUGAGGUCUUGGUGGACAUUUACAUGUGUAUUGGCCUGAAAUUUGAGAUCAUUUAAAAGAAUGAGACCUCCAUGACUCCAAGUAGCAUAAGCCUAGGCCGUAUGAACAAUGGGAAAUCUGUAGUAAAGUUGGCCUCAAAAUCUAGAGUCUAGAGAGCCAAGUCCCAAUCAUCCGCCAUUAACAUAUAGAUGUUUCCGUGCAUCUUAUGCUACUAAGGUCAUCCUACACAGAUAUAUGUUUCACUUCAUUCCUAAAUGUUGUGAGCAAAGAAGGAAAAGAAUCCAUAUGUUGUUCUGCACUAUGCUGCUAGCAGUUCAAUAGCUAAACAUACGGGAAAGUCCACUUUUGGCCCCUUAACUAUUGCCUCAGAUCAAAAUCAUCUAAUUUGCACCCUCAACUAUCAAAAGCAUCCAAGUUACAUCUGAAGGCAAUAUUUGUUAGAGGCUUUGUGUGAUGUGGCAUCCAUGUCAACGUGUUUUGCCACAUCAAUCGCUGCUGGGCAGUAGGGCCCACAUAUCAUGGCUGCCGUGCCCCUUCUUUCUUUAUAAUUCUUCCUCCUUAGCCAUGCCAUGGCCUCCUCUGUAGGCUAUAGCUUCCACUGCUGCUGCUACAGAUAACCCAUGUUUGACGUUGCAUAACAUCUUCUGAUUUAGAGAGGGGUAUCCUGACAGACAUGUACCAGUCUCCGCAAACCGCUGCACGGCUGCAUCCUGAGGGGAAUGGACAAAGAGAGGAUUAGAGAGGAAGGCUGAGGAGGGAGGCGUUUAGGGCGACUCCAACACGGCCACCCAAAUCGGACACAAAAAGUGUGUCCGUUUGGGUCUGCUGGUGCCCCUAACACGGUCACCCAUUUGGUCCGUUUUAUUAUUUAGUAUUGGCCACGGAUAGGCGGGCCAGGGCAAGGACAAGGGAGGACAAGCGCAGUGUCCACCCGCUGUCCGCCCAGACACAAACCCGGUCAGAUUUGGGUCGGCAAUGGGUUGAGCUGGACAGAAAAGCAGACAGCCGCCACACCGGACGAAAUGGGUCGCCGCGUUGGAGUCACCCUUAAUGCUAAGCUGGGAAAGAGGAAGGGAACAGAAAUAAGAGGAUGAGGACAAGGGAGGGAGAAAAGGGUGCUUCCAAAAAAUCAAUCCCAGGCAUGUGGGGCCUACUGCCCAGUGGAGAAUGAGAUGUCAAAGUUGCUGAUUUGGCGGCUACAUACAGAAUAUCACUCAUGAAACCAGCUUCUGGUCCUAUCGAACGGUUUCAUGAGUUGAUGGUUCAAUUUAGACCAGGCAAAAGUUGAGGGAUCAUAAUUAGGCUUUUCCAAACAUAAAUGAAUGUCAUGCUGUAAAAGUAGUGUUCGUCAUCCAGUAAACUGGUUCGAAUAUCCAACAAGCGCACAACUACUUUAUACACAUCUAAAGAAAGAACAGCUAUUUACAUACCACACAAAGGAGCUGCCUUUUACCAGGAGUUUCAGUUCCUUGGUUGCCAAAUUUUGCUUCUAAAACCGCAAUCAGCGCAAUAUUAUCCUUCAAAGCAAAUAGAACGUGUGAUAAAUAACAUCACUUUUUUUUGCGAAAAGUGAUAAAUAACAUCACUGUAGCAUACAUUAUUUCUUUUGAAGUUAAUCUUACUUUAAUCAGUCGACUUAAAGCCACUCUUUUCUGGGAAGCUGGAAUAAUAGCUUCUGUUAAAGACUGUGCAGCCUUAUUGAACUCAACCUACACAAGCAAGUACAAGUAUUAGAUAGCUGCAAAUAUCAAGCUGCUGCAAACCUGCAGUACAGGUACCUCGUAUUUUUUGACAUGUGAAAAUCUAUCUCUACGGAAGAAAGUAGCACAGCCAUCAAUGGCAUUAGGAACUCCAGCAUACACCUGUGACAACAGUAAAGUAAAAUCAAACAAGAGACAAAAGGUAUUAAACCAAAAUAUGAAGGAAAAAAUCAACCCAAAGAUACCUCUGUUGUCCGUUUCUUGUAAAGCGCCUGAUACCCAUGUUUAUCAAACUCAGGAGCAAAAAAAUCCUCAAAGUGGUUCAAUUGUACCUGAAAACAGUAGGACUUGGCUUAAUUCCCUCCUGUUACAAUCUUCGGUCACUCUUCGUUUUUAUUGUAAGCCGCUUCAGUAAACUCUUCAUAAUAUAUAUGCAGACAAUAUUCGUGAAAGUUUAAACAGCAAGCAAACUAUCAUAAAUUCAUAAUCCAACAUCACUGAAAAGUGAAAACAAUCAAACAAAGUGAUGGCACAAAUAUGGAAACGAACAGCCCAGCAGUAUAUGAAAGAUUGUAGGUUGAUGAACAGGGUUCCGGCAUUAAAGUUUACCGAGUCGCAAAAAUUAUAUGAUCAACCAAAUGAGACAUGCUCGGUUCCUAAAACAAAUAUAUGAGAUGAAAAGCUGAAAAUAGGUCACCAAAAUAAAUAAAUUCAGAAGAUAGCAAACAUAUGAUACCUCCUGAAGACAUAUAAUAUCAGCAUGAUAACCAAUAAUUUCGCGCAUCAAAUUUUGUCUUCUGUAAGUCCAUGAAAGUGCCCACGUUGGGCAGUAGCUAUAUGCAUCAGAUGUAGCAUAUGCAUCAGCAAGAAUAUUAUAGGACAGCACCGUGAAUGUCCCAAAAGAAGAAGUCUGGCUGUCUAUAUCUGAGUGACCCAAAACAUCUCCAUUCACUUGGAUAAGGCGGCGUGGAGUAGGAGUUGGUGCUGGAAUCACACGUGAUGUCAUAAUUGAAGUUGGAGACCCCGCAGGUACUUUCUUUUCCGUAUCCACCGCUGCACAUUCAAAUCUUAGAACAUGCCCAAUAUCAUCAGCAGUUGGUGUAUACGUCUGCGAGCGUCCCACUUCAAACCAUGUUUCACCCGAGUUCUUAUCAGUGCCUGAGGGAUACAAGGGAACAGGUCCAUUAUUAACUCCAGGGCUCUGUCCAAGAUUUGACAUUGAGCCAGACCCAGAACUUAGAAUCCCAGAACUACCGCUGCCAAAUCUACCAAAUAGCUCCUCCUCUUCAGCUCCAUUUUCAUUUAAAGCACUACUAGCUCGCUCAUGCAAAACCCUGUGGUGCUGCCAUGCAUCAGAGAAGCACUUAGCAGAACAAUGGUAGCUCUUAGCAGCAGGUAUUUUUGACUUGAGACAACCUAAGCACUGAAUUGUUGCUUGCUCCAUCGGAUGUACACUGCAGAUAGUAACUUUUCGAUCACUCUGUAUGCGAUACCUUCGAGCGAAAAGUCAAAUCAGUAUAACCAUGUGCUACUAGAUACAGAAAAAGUUUAGAAGAACAUGAUUGAAUAUAGUAACUACAAGAAAGGACACCUAAAUUGCCAAUGUUUUAGCAUGUAUGAGAUCCAGGAAAACUUGCUAUCAGCAUCUUGGAAGUCCAUUAUUCAGAGACAUUAGACUCACAACACUUCCAUUAUAAGCAUAGUAUGAAUAAGGCAAAAUGAAGCAGGUUGCCAAGAUGUCGCAAAAAAAAAGAAGCAAAUUACAAGUUUGCUUGUCAUGAGUUGCUGCUGCUGUUGUUUUUUCUUGAUUUUAGUCCCUCAACCGGCUAACUCGUGAUCAUUCAUCUCUUGCUUUCUUUACCAGAUCAACCAUGCAACUGAUUUCUUUAGCGGACCAGGCAAUAUAUGUAAUAAGCAAAAUUCUACAGUUUAGAUCAGAGAUUCAGAGGACUAUUGCAGGCUCUCAUAUAUCAUCAUUAGGGCAUGACGACCAGACAAGGAAGUUGCUGUGUAUAUUAUUAUUCCUAGAAGAAAAACAUUUAAGUACUGUUCAAGGAGGCGACCAACUAUAGCCCAGUGCCCACCCCAUCAAUCGAUUAGUGUCUUUCAGAACACUUCAUUUCAACAAUGUGUCUAUAAAUGGCCACACUUACUAUACUCAAACCUCAAACCUUAAAAGUGAAUAAAGAUGCACAUAUCACAUGAGAUUCUAUCAAGCUAAUGACUGAAAAGCAACACAAUGAAAAUAUAAAAAACUAUAGAAUUGAAGGACCAAAACCAAUGAAACUGCAUGAGUGUUAGUGGGACCAAGCACCACCAUUUCGAAAAGUUCUAAGGUCUAAAGUCUCAGCAAUAAAUGCUAUUUAAACCUACAUGACAUUAAAAAAACGGAUGUGAUAAAACAAAUAAAUAUUCACGAACAUGAUCAAUCAUUCAGAGCGGGAUUCUAAAAUUGAUCACUGAAAUUGUUCGGCCACCCAGCUAUUAGUGAUUAUACAGCCGAGCUAGCUCAUUGCAGUGGGUGGCAUAACCAGCGGUUACAAGUUCUUUUCUCUCAUAUUUGCCUCUCCAUUUUUCAUUUUUUUAUUUCCAAAUAGAUCUACAAUGUUAUUUGAAUUUUAAAAAUAAUAGGUAGGGCACUCCUUACAUACAUGACCUCCUAGGCCAUUUAAAACAAAUAUGCAUUGUUUGGGGUUUUUUAUAUAACAUAAAGUAAGUUAACUAUGACACACUGCCAAAAUAUUUUUGCAUAAAAAACAUUAAAUUUGAUAUAGCACAGAAAGAACGUGGAUAUCCAGCAAGAGAUUAAAGAAGGCAAAGUGGGGCAGGCAGUCAGCAAAACAAAACUAGUGGAUCACGAGUUUCAAACUUUUACUAGCUUUAAGCAACUGAAAUAACUUGCCACUGAACCUAGUGAGCCAACAACUCUAACGUGUAAUAGCAAACAAGUAAUAAUUCUUUUGAAGCUCCAGAAUAAUCAAAACUGAGUCUAGAAUCAAGCUAGAAUGCCCAUUUGAGUUCACUGGUGAUGUUAGAGUGAUACUUAGUUCAAGGAGUAUAUCCAGAUACCCCAAUCAAAAAAAUCAUCUGAAGCCAUGCGAACAAACUGAUGGCACUUCUAGAAUAGUGUCUUUCCACAAAAUUAGUUAGAUAAGCCUAUGUAAUCCCAAAAUUUAUAAAAUGCUCCCGUUCCAUCCAAGAUGAACGUAAACAUUCCUGCACAACGAUUGGCAACAAUCCUCAACCCAACAGCCUUCAUCACCAUCCUAUGAUGCUAUCUAACACUCAAUAGUUCUAGCAAAACCAAAAUCAGAUGGUCUGUUUUGCUCAAUGAAUUACUUAUUAUCAUUACCAACCCGUGUGGCAGGUUGAUAUGGCAUAGACUAAAUAGUAUGAUUCAUAAACAGGCUUAAAAUAAUGCAAUACUGAGUUCUUUACCAAAUCAAGCAUUGGCAUUUCAUGUUCCCUGGGUUUCCAUUCGUUCCAAAAACAAACAACUGUCUUGCUAGAGAAAAUCAUGCUCAGAAUUCAUAUAGUUGUGCUUCAUUUAUGCAAGAAUCAAGACGAUUCAUGAGUUUAGCAAGUAGUUAAGCAUCUAGCAAACUGAUUGAUACUUAAAGCCCCCAUUUUCUUUUUUUCUUUUUUGUCAAAAUUCACUUGUAGCAACGCACAAGCGGAACUAAGCAUUCGAAAGUGUAUAUCCUAUUGAACCAAAAGUUGCAAUCACGAGCUGCUCACUCACCAUCUGUAUCGCAUGAAGUGGCCAUCAACAGGCGCGGCCUCAGGCACGUCGUCGGUGGAGAUUACACCGUUGGGCAGCCGCAGCAGCACGUACGGGGUGAUUUCGCACCCCACGAUCGGGAUCUCCGACGGCAGGUGCACCCGCACCACGCUCAGCAUCCUCCACUCCUGCUCCCCUCCCCUGCUCUCCUCUGCCCAGCCCAGGGGCGGAUCUAGAUGGUGUGCCGGGUGGGCACCGGCACACCCAAAAUUUGUGGACGCUGCGAGGACGGCGGAAGGCCAGGGCGACGUCGGGAGAGGAGGGGAGCGCCGCCGUCAAGGGGACCGGGAGAGCGAGACAGGGUUAGGGUUGGUUGCCUGAGGGUAUUUUUGGGCAUUUCGAAAAUCUAGAGUUGUGUCCAGCGCAUUUUUUUUCUAAACUAGUAUUGCGUAAGCGGGACGGAGUGGUAAUGUUUGUGCAAGACAAGAGAGAGCCGGAGAGGAUGACAUGUUUUUUUUAACGAUAAUAUUAAAAACUAGUCAAAUGUCCAUGGGACAAACUCAUAUGCGAUACUCACCGCAUUUGUAGUUAUAGAUUAAUACCUUUUCAUAGCAGUUUGCAGAGAUGGAACCAUGAAAGGCGUUGCAGACGUAUAAUUCACUCGCUAAAAAAUCCAUAUUGAGAAAAUAAUUAUGUACUUGAUAGACUCGGUCUCACGAAGUUCUGGUAAGAAGCCGGUUCGGAGGGACAAAGUUCCAGAAAGAUGGCCGCAAUGUCACGCACGACCAGGCGAAUUUGUGAUAGUUUUUUUGUUAUGAAAAAGCAAAGUAUAUGUGAUCGGCAUGCGACCUUGUGGAUUGGGGUUGAAAGUGUUGGACUGCAGUGUAUACCUUCAACCCACCACGUCUUGAUUUAAAGGCCAAAUCAACGUAGGAUUCGGACUCCUUAACUAAAUACGAUUAGGAUUCCCUAUCUAUGUCGGAUUUGGUCUCCUAUUCUGUGAUUGGCAAUUGGGAAUUUAGACAUUAAUCCAUAGCUUCUCCAACUCUUUAGUGAUUGAACGUAACGGUUGGUACAAGCUAGGCUGGGCGCGAUGGGCUGAGGCUGAGGCAAACCAACCAUGGACCUCGUACCGUUUAGAUUGAAAAAAGGACAUGUUUUUUUUUGUUUAUCGAUCAGGACGGACAGGCGCACGCACGAGGGUGAGUUGGAGGUUCAGAUCGGUUGGGCUUAGUGGAAGUUUUAAUGAAAAAGGCCUACGGACGUUCGCCAUCACCACCGAUUGUAAUAUAAUAGACAUUGUAGAUUAGUUAUGAUUUGGACCACCGGGCACCGGAACCCAAGCUGCUCAAUUUUGGCAAAAUUUGCAGAAAGCAAACUCAAACCCGAUGGCUCCUAUGUAGAUGGGAGUGAACUCAGAGUAUUCUCAUCGUGUUGCUACAAAGCUUUUCUUUGAUGAUGUUCCCUCCGUUGUGUUUCCCUUGCGUGCUCAAGGACACAAUGUUGUGAUUGAGGAAAUUGUUGAUGACCCUAGCUCUGCCAUCUUCCGUCCGUAAGUGAGGGCACAAGCAGCGCGUUGCUACUCCAGAAGUAACUUCAGGUCUGUGCCAUAGUUCAUGCUCUACCAUGUUUAGAGGAUUCAAGUCCUAGCUUGUUUCUGAUGUGCAGAAGAAACAGUCCAAGUGUCGAUGUUAUACAUUGUCAGAAUAUGAUUCGGGAUAGCACACGACCAAGGAUUACUACUACUCUUGAUGGCAACAGUCUACGUGUUUAUCAUUUGUUGGAACUCCAAGCACAAAGUGAUGUAACAAAGGGUGUUUUCCCCCACAAGUGUUUUACCCCCAACAAGCACCACAAUGGUUGUCAAUCACAAUGAUCACUAUACAGAAUCACUUAUUUCUGACGCGUUAAAAAACUUCUAGUCUGACGCAAAUGGGACGUGUCACUAAUCAAGUGUCAAAGAUGACUCGGGAACUUCUGACGUGUCAACAAGCGUCAGAAGUAGGAAACCCUAAUGACGCUUCUUGUCGAUUGUUAUUAGAGACAAGUAUCCUCAUGUCGGGUGAAGGCCAUGUUUGUUUGAGCUUCUGCUUCAGCUUUUGGUGGUUCUAGCUCUCUAAAAAGCACUGCUUCCGUUUACACAUGAAGCUGAGAAGCACGUCGUGAGGUGCUUCCCUCCAGAAGCUGCAGGAAGCACCUCCAGACGUGCUUCUCAGCUUCAUGUGUAAACGGGAGAAAUGCUUUUUAGAGGGCUAGAAGCAGCAAAAGCUGAAGAAAAAGAAAAAGCCCAAACAAACAGGGCCGAAGAUGAGUAAGAAGAUAGAGGGGCCUCACGGUGAUAUCUACUCGUGUAAGAUAGAGAACUCGGCGAAAGACAAGGGUUUAUACCGGUUUGACUUGCUCCUUUUCGUGAAAGCAAGCCUACGUCAUGUUGGUAAUCUAAUAUUUGUGUAUGAUAUUACAAGGUGUGUUCUGCCCAUCGAGGGCGCCUAGCCCGCUUUAUAUAGUCAAACAACUAGGGUUUCGGGUAGAGCCGGGUACAACUUUUACAUGGACUGUACCUUCCUAAACUAGUUAGGAUUCUUCCUUUACAAGAUAUCUACAACUAGUAUUUCCUAUUACCUGAACUAGGCUUCCUUCUUCAAUACGACAACUUCCUUGACCGAGUGAUAGGGGAUGUCUGGCUUGUGCGCUGAGUCGACUUUCUCUGUUCAGUCGUCUCUCAGCUACCCGGCUAGAAUAUCCUCGUCAUUAGCCCCGAGUACAAUGUGGAUAGGGGGGAGCUGAAUAAUGCCAUCGUCGUCAAUCUCGAAUCUUUCUCGUUUCAUGUGCUUUUCUUGAGUUGCUUCUUCUUGAUUUUAUUCCGACCUCAAAUCCACAAUGUACUUCUCUAUGACAGCUUGAGGUUCGAGCUCAUGGCUUCUUAUGCAUAAAGUUCAGCUAUAAGAGCAAACCAGCUUCUAUGUGGCAUGUGUUAGCAUUGCAGCGAUAUUAGCUCCUGUUUUGAUUUGUGUUUUUUCCUUAGCUGUAGCGUUGCUUUGAAUUAAUUAGCAACUACGUCGUGCAUGUAAAAAAAAGUGAGUUCCAACAAAUCUCUGACGUGCGCUAGAACAAGAGGUCAGUGAGCAUCAAAAGUAUACUGACGUGGCGACACAAGGAAGAGCUAGGAAAUUCCUCGUGAACAAAGUUGACGCUUCCACAAAGGAAAGAGUCACAUCAGCUAGAAUCUCCUUCGACGCUUACGAAGUAAGGAAGCGUCAGUAGAAAUGAAGAGUCAGAAGUGUGGAAGUUCUCCUACGCUUCUCCGAGGUAGGUGUCAGAAAUAUCUUAUUGACGCUGCCUCGUGGAUGCUACCUAUGACAGUCCUUAUAAGGAGCCGCAGAGAUAAGGAUUUGCGCUGACGCUUUUUAGUUUUGUGUCAGUGGGGAGCUUGCAAGAGUAAAGUCUAUAGUAGUGAGUGUAAGGCUAAACUUUAAAUAAACAAAUAAUAACUUUAAGUAAACUAAUGCAAAACAAUAAUUUAAACUAACUAGAAGAUGCAAUAACUAUAUAAUAAAUACUACUACUUAUUAUGCAACUAAAUAACCAAGAGAGAAUGUUUAAAUGGCUUUUUACAAGAUAUCUAAAAAAAAGCAAUUAAAUAAAUGCAAAAUAAUUGUAACAGAGGUGUUUCUUAUGAUAUUAAAGAGGACCAGGAUACUCUUUGCGGCAUGAAUAUAGCACAUAGGACAAGUUCAUUUACUUUGCAAUGUUUUUAUGAAGUGAAUGAUAAGCAUUCAUAUGGACAUCACGUCCUAAUAUUGAGAAUAUGCAAAAUAUCUCACUAAUGCUCCCUUGGUAAGUGACUCAUCAAACUAGAUUAUUGCUUUAGGUACUUUGACAUGAUGUUGAACUUUAAUGCAACUUUGAGCAAGCAAGACCACCAUUGUUGUCAUUUGGUAGCAUAAUGCGUAUUCAUUUAUCCCUAGCGGGUCAAAUCACUGAAAGGUGAAAAUCAUAGUGGUUCCCAAAAUUUUUGUCACUAUCCGGUUGCCACUACCAAUUGCUCUAUCUAAUACACACAUCCCCACACAUGCACAUGUAAACUAGUAUGAUUAGUACAAGUAAGCAAGAAGGGAUAGACAUAUGCAUCUAUCAAUACAUCAAAACACAAUCCAAACAUUGCAAACUCAUGACUCAUCUCAUAACAAAAGGUUCACCAAUAAAAAAUAUAACGAUGAUCAUAAUCAUGAUAGGAAACUCGUAUGAUUCUAUUACAACCCAUAGCCCAGCGAGGACUACUCCCUCAUCAUAUUGGUGAUGAUAGAGAAUAUGUUCAAGGAGAAGGAGAGGCGACCGAUGGUAUUUUCCCUUCUAAUCUUGGAUCAAUCUGAUGUUGUUUUUUUUCUUUCCGAGUCGUUGUGCUAUGCAAGCGCAAAGCACGGGGUAUUAAUAAAUGGUUUUAGGUCAAGACGAAUCUUCGGGUGAAAGAAUGCACUUGCGGGCGGCCACUCGGGAUAAAAAACAACCAUGGUGAAUUAUGAUAAUCUAGUUUUUUCGACUACUACCUCUGAUCCUAAAUUGUUGUCGUGGUUUUACUUCAAAUUUGUACUAAAACCACGACAAGAAUUAAGGAUCCGAGAGGUAGUUUUUACCUAUUUUUCAAUUCGGCUUACCUAUUAUUUUCUAAUUUUCUUUGUAUGUUUUGACAAAUUCAGCACACUUCAGCAACCCAAACUGAACAUUAGUCCCGUACAGGAUUCCAGAGUGCGUUGUACGCAUGUGUUAGUAUAUUCCUAAGCAAGCAAGAAAAAAAUAAAAAGAAGCAAAUAGUAGCAACUAUCGGUUGAUCCCGGCCCUGGGCCAGGACAAGAAGGGCGACAGCCCGGGCCCGCCCAAUCCAGGGGACCAGAUCAUAUGUGUAUACGCUAGUAGAGAUACAUGUCCAAAUAUUGAUUAGCAUAAAAGAAAGAGGAAAAAAGCUAGAGGCCCAGCAGAUUGCUCCGCUCCUGGCCAACCCAGGACGUAUCAACGUGCUCGAAAAUUCCCCUUGGCACCCGGUAUCCAGGCCUAUGUGUAUCUCAGCCGACCAAUUUUCCAUCCUACGGCUCCAUCCUGCAGCUCCUGUCGUCCGGCCCGUUUAAGUAUACAAUUUGCUAUUCUCCCGUACAGGCGGUAUUUGCACCGGUUGGCCUGACACAUCCUUUUUUAUAUUGCGUUUCCCAGGCUGGCUGGCCCAAGUCCCACCUCGCGCAUUGCUGGGUGAGCACAAGUCCUUUUCUCCCGCUGCAUACCGUGGCACAGGUCUGCCCUUGAGACAUCGCAUUAAAUUUCCAUCAGUCCCAUUUUUUUGGCCCAAGAUUUCUGGGCAGGCACAGGUCCACGCCAUUGGGGGGGCGGUGGCGCGGCUGGCGAGGCCGACGUCGCGGCUGUCGAGGGUGCCUGCCACGGGCGAUGAGUCACCGAGUCAGGCUUCGGUGCCCAGAGCUGAAAAGCGUGCCGCGGUAGACGAUGUUGGGCGCCUUAAUGCCGUGCUCGGACACGAUUCGGUCGGGGACGAAGCUGUCAGUUCCCGCGCAUAGCUCAUCAAGGCUGUACUCUGUGAUCAUCGGCACAGCACUGUCGUCUUCCCCAGUUUCCCCAUUCUCUAUUUCUCUACACAGGGAAAGCAAACAGCAAGGGGAAGAGCAUCCAUCCUGUAAAGCAACGAGCUGCCGGCGAUGGCCUUCUCCACGACCGCGGAGCAACGCAGCGCCGUCCCCGUGCCUUCGCUGGAUGCCCGCUCGCAGCUCCGUGAUGGACCGCUUCCGCACGAGCACCGCCCGCCCGAACGGGUCGUGCGCGUCGGCAAGCGCGAGGGCCGAGGGACACGUUGAGGUGGCCAAAGGCCGGGUCGCUAGGGAAGAACUCCGAGCUGCAGACCGGGGGCGCGGGGCAGGGACGGAUGUUCGGGCAUCGGCCGGACCUCCUCCGUUGGCAGCUUCCGCAGGCGAGGAAAACUUGAGGGGCAACGGCAGAUAUUUGGGAUUUGACGUGGGUAUUGGUGCUCCGAUCUUUCCAUCAGAUUGAUAACUCUCGAUUUGGGUUGAAGAUGACGUUUGACGAUCCGACUACGGUCUAAAAGACAGCGCCUUAGUAAUCAAUACACCAACUACAGAGAGUUAUUGAUCACGCGGGGCACGAUCAACCUGACCACGAAGGUUUUUAUUCCUGCAAGCAAUCGAAAAACAAGCAAGACCAAGAUAAAUAGUGGAUGCAAUCUGAAAUUGCGAAUAUACUAUAUCAAACCAAUGUCUCAAUGAGACGAUAAGUUGGGAUUUCGAAAGUGGUAAAGCAGGUGGUCUAGCCGACAUAGACGAUUACACGAAGUUGUAGCGAUGGCUAACUUUUAACUAAACAAAACCCAAGUCUCCAUAGGGAGGCUAGUGGGGUAUAUAAAAGAGGAGGGAGAGAGAUUUUCGCCCACCUUGAGUAAGGAGGCCGAAAUCCAAAUCUAUUUCUAACUUUUCUAACAAACUAUAACUCUUUAGGAAACAAAAAAACAGAUCCGUCAUCUUGUUUUGUCUGCCACGGCCAGCACGCGUCGAAUCUCCUUGUGGGGUCAAAUCUGUUGGAAAGGUCUUGUAAUUACCUUUCCAACAAGUACUUGUUUGCUUGAUUUGGACUCUGAAUGCGGUCUGGGUGAUUAAAACAAAUUCGGAUCUCCUGACAGCUCGGACCCGAAUCGGAUUCAACUUUAAUUCGUGAUAUCUUUCACUAGCAAGCUCCGAACCAUGUGCCGUUCGAUUUGUUGGAAAGUAGACUUGAUAGGCUUCACCUUGCAUCUCCCGUUGCAUGCUAUCGCACCUCAUCUUCACUUUGGAUUUGAAAAGCUCGACCAAAUAUCUACAUAAUAAAAUGAUACAAGAUAGUAGCUCUGCCUCUUCAUGCAUAUGGCAUUGAAAACAAAUAGUACUUGACUUCACCUGAUUAUAAAAUGUUAUCGAAUACUCUAGAACUGAGGGUGCCAAAGGUUGUAUCUAUGGUUAGCAUGUCCAUAUCAUCUUCCCUUUCUUGAAACAAAAGCCGUCCUCGGUGUCGUUUGUGCUGAAAAGAGACUGACAAAACAGACAAAGUGUGUGCAUGGGUAUAUGUACAUGUCAUCCAUCUUUAUACAUCUCCUUUCUUGCACAAUUAAUGUUUUAUAAAAAAAUCUCAUGAGAUAAGUAGUCAAACAAUCAUCAUGAAUUACAUUCCAGCAAGAAGAUUGACAAUAUGUUUUGCAUAUAUAAGUGAAACAAUAUCUUAUACUAGUAAAAAGCCCGUGCUUUGCUACGGAAGAAGACUUUCUUUUAAAAACAUGCUAUAGGUUAAUUUUCAAAUAGUCGGCUGACUUGGGCUUGCGGGGCUGCGGCUUGGGCUGAAAGGUGGAGAUGGGGUUGGUGGGCCUGAAGGGGGCUCGGGGUUGCUGGGUUGCUGUGGGAUCGAGGCAGCGGGGAGGUUGAAGGCACGGGAGCAAGGGGAGGCAGUGCCGGCGAGGUGGACGAUGGGAGCAGCACGCGAGGGUGCUGGGCUGCCACGGUGACUGGAGCUUGGCGACAACGUUGGCGGAUUGCAGCAGCGAGGGAGAGGAGAAGAGGGCGCAACGAGUAAUGAAGGCAGGAGCGCCAGAGAGAGGAGGCGGCUAGACAGAGGAGAUCGGGAGGGAGAAAGGAGCUCGAGGGGAAAGAUGAAGGAGCAUAGGGGAUAUCGGGGAGGACCGGCUGCCUGGUUGGGUGGACGGGCAGGACAAGAAAAGGGGACGAGAGCGAGAGGGAUAGGGUUCGAGGAAGCCCGCAGAGGUUAGGGCUCGGGGGUCAGACGGAUGUUUUUCGGGACUGGGGAUAUGCAGUGGCAUAUUGAGCGUAAUUUUAAUGGAGUGACGUACCGCGACACCUGUACCAUCACCACCAACUCCAAUUUAAUAUAUUUGUAUAGAUUUAGUUUGCACCGCUCACCAUUAUACCAUCCCAACACUGGAGAAUAAUAAUUAAUGGUACCCAAAUUAGUUACUACAAGAUGCUGAAAUUUAGAGCAAGUCAAAGCAGUAAUAUUCAAACAAUCGUGUAAACAACUAUUUGGCAAAUAAUCAACACCAAUAUUGGAGAUCAUAUCAAAAUAGUUAAGCAUAUGCAAGAAUUUAUUUUCUCCCAAGAUAGUAAAAUUAUCACAAGUAAUACAAAUUUCAUGUACCAAAAAGUUAUUAUUCACAUCAUGUUCUCCAAUUAGUUGAAUAGUGGAUCCAUGAACAUUAGGAAAAGAUUUUGAAAUUGUUAACUUGGACACUUUUUCCAUUGCAUAUGAUAAAUACAUAUGUGUAUCAAGUGUAAUAUAACACAAAGAAUUAAUAGGUGGAUCCUUAUGAAUCACUCCAUGUCUAAUUAACUCGACACAACCUAAGCCAAAUUUAUCUAUCUCACAUGUUUCUCCCAAAGCAUUAGUUCUGUCCUGACAUGAUUCAUGCUCAUCAAUAUCAAAAUUAAUAUGUGCACUAAAAUCAUUAGAAAAAUUAAUUUCAGCACUAGGUGUACUCAAAUCAGCAUGUAAAUCAACAAUUUCACAUGGUGCAGAAAAUUCACCGAGUAUCUCAUUUAUUUCAUCACAUGUCAUAUUUAGUUCAGGAACACAAUCAUCUUUACCAUUACCUUGUGGUCUCGACUCAUUUGUAGUAGACCUUCACUGUAAUUUCCUCUCAACUUCACGAGCAAGAUUAAGCAAACACAAAAAAGAGUCGUAUUUUCCAUAUUCAAUUAUGUAAGAAAUAUCAAAGUUAAGCCCACAAUAAAACCUAUCCAUUUUUGUUUGUUCGGUUUCAUCUAAACCAGAUCGCAAGGUUAGAAUUUGGAACUCCUGAUAGUAAUCAUCAACAGUUUUAUCAUCUUGUUUCAAACGUCGUACUUUUGCACGCAAGUUACAAGCAUAACUAAAAGGGACAUAUUUUUCUCUCAUGAUUUUCUUCAUAUCAACCCAAGUGUGAGGAAUUUUCUUUUCUCUAACUAUCUCACUCCACCAAGAUAAAGCAGCAAAAGUAAAUUUACUACUAGCAAUUUGGAACUUGCGACUAUCAAGUACAUGGAAGCAUGUGAAUUGUUCAGUUAAAGCUAUCUCCCAAUCUAUAUACGUUUCAGCAUCAUUUUCCCCCUUAAAGAAAGGUACACACAAUUUAAUUGUAUUGGAAGGAUUGUUUCGUACCGUUGCCGUCGCAUUGUCAACAAAAGACGUGGAGGAUGGCCAUGGUGAAAAGCACUCAUCGCGGUCACGGGAUUGCAUCGGUCUAGUUCCCAUGCUUCGUGUAAGUCCUGUCAUUGUUAGUAGAAAACAAGAAACAAAUCACAGUAAUAUGUUCCUAUCAACUAAUAGGAUGUGGCUACAAGUCGUUCAACUCUCAAGCUAAAAAUCAAGUUCUUACAAGUUCUUACCAUGCAACAAGAAGGUGAUGGCCAGCGGCUUGACCAAGCCCCUCCGAGGAUUAAAUGUAUCAAUGCCUCGGUAACAAACCAACCUAGGUGUAGAAUCUGUGUAGCUUGGAAGCUUUUGUGAGUAGCAAGGAAUAGCAAAUAAUCAAACAGCAAUGCAAAGUUGAAAAUAUGCUAAAUAAUGCUAGUCCUAACUGCUGGAGUCGAUAAUAACGAAUUACAGAAAUAAUCUAAGCCUAGAUAGUGAAGAAGGUAGGAUAGAAAGAUCAAAAUAAAGGUAAAACAACUAAAUCUCUAGGAUUUUUCUUUUCUUUUAUUUAUUUAUUUAUUUAUUUUUGUGGCCUUCUGUUUGGCUUCUUAUUCUUUUCUUCUUUUUUUAUUUUUUUAAUCCCAGAAACUCAUGCAAAAGAAGUAAAGACCGGAAAACUGCACGUCGGUCUGUCGAAGAACAGCAAAGGGUGCUGUAAGAAAAUGUCAGAAAAAUAUGGAAAAAUAUAGGUUAGGAGCGUAUCGAAACAAGCUUUCCAGGAAGUGCAAGAUCACUCAAAUCGGAGGCCGGACGAUGGAGAUAACGUAAAAACACCGGCCUGCAGCGAUGCCGGAAACCGGAUGCAGAAACUUGGAAGCUCUGAAAGUCCACCUUACAAACCGAGUUUGAGGGUCAAGGAGUCAGUGCGAUGCCCUGGAUAUUUUCUCGUGCGCUUCGUCAUGAGCUUUCCAGAAAGUACUAGAAGGUCCAAAUCUGAGUUGGUGACCGUUUUACUGAACACGGGUCAAACCCACUCGAAACUAUAAUUCUCCUGAACGUGGAUCUGAAACUGAUUCUUUUUCUCUCUCUUUUUUUUCAUUUUUUUUCCUUUUUUUUCCUUCCUUUUCUUUGCUUUUUUUUCACAACUUUCCGAACAACUUGAUCUCUAAACAAAAUUCGAUCUAUUAUGAAACACUUUCCAAAAGCACUCUCGAUUGGACUCGGACUCGAACCCGGAGAAGGACUCGGUGUAUGACUCGAUGGAAGAUUAUGGCGUGGCGGUGGUGUGGCAGGGAGUUUGGCGGCAGAAAAUUGAGGAAGGAAACCUGCGUCACACGAAGAACAAGAAAACCAAAAGCAAGUUCGAUCUAGUAGAAAAAGUCUGAAAAACGAUCCAAUCUAAUCCAGCAACUCGACACGAUUAAUGCAGCAAAGGUUCAACAAUGCAAAUACUAAUGUGAAAAUUGCAAGGCUCAGAUUGGUUUUUGGGACGAAGGUAAGUAAUCUCUACUUUUUUAUUGUCUUUUUCUGGACUAUAGGUAAAACAUAUCUAAACUAUGGAAAAAUACCACGUGAUGUGGGUCGGGGUGGCCCGAUAUUUCGAUGAGAUUGAUAACUCUCGAUUUGGGUAGGAGGUGACGUUGACGAUCCGACUACGGCCUUGAAAGCAGCGUCUUAGCAAUCGAUACACCAACUCCAGAGGGUUAUUGAUCACGCGGGGGCACGAUCAACCUGACCACAAAGGUCUUUGUUCCUACAAGCAAACGAAGAACAAGCAAGAACAAGAUAAAUAUCGGAUGCAAUCUGAAAUUGCGAAUAUACUAUAUCAAACCAAUGUCUCAACGAGACGAUAAGUUGGGGUUCCGAAAGCGGUAAAGCAGGUGGUCUAGCCGACACACGCGAUUACACGAAGUUGUAGCGAUGGCUAACUUUUAACUAAACAAACCCAAGUCUUCAUAGGGGGGCUAGUGGGGUAUAUAAAGGAGGAGGGAGAGAGAUUUUCGUCCACCUUGAGUAAGGAGGCCGAAAUCCAACUGUAUCUCUAACUUUCCUAACAAACUACAACUCUUUAGGAAACGGAAAAACAGAUCCGUCAGCUUGUUUUGUCCGCCACGGCCAGCACGCGUCGAAUCUCUUGUGGGGCCAGAUCUUUUGGAAAGUUCUUGUAAUUACCUUUCCAACAAGUACUUGUUUGCUUGAUUUGAACUCCGAAUGCGGCCUGGGUUAUUAAAACAAAUUCGGGUCUCCUGACAGCUCGGACCCGAAUCGGAUUCAACUUUAAUUCGUGAUAUCUUUCUCUAGCAAGGUCCGAAUCAUGUGCUGUUCGAUUUGUUGGAAAGUAGACUUGAUAGGCUUCACCUUGCAUCUCCCGUUGCAUGCUAUCGCACCUCAUCUUCACUUUGGACUGGAAAAGCUCGAUCAAAUACUUACAUAAUAAAAUGAUACAAGAUAGUAGCUUUGCCUCUUCAUGCAUAUGACAUUGGAAACAAAUAGUACUUGACUUCACCUGAUUAUAAAUAUUAUCGAAUACUCUAGAAUUGAGGGUGCCAAAGGUCGUAUCCAUGGUUAGCAUGUACAUACCAGGCUUGCAGUACGAUGCCCGGAGCUGGGGGAGAUGGCGCUGCACAUGUCGUAUCUGAAGGAGGCGGCGAUUGAGGUGAAGAAGACGGUGGGGGAUGAGACGGUGACAGAUGGGGAAGAGAGGUAGAUGAGGGCGAUGAAGGGAAUAUGCCCUAGAGGCAAUAAUAUUGUAUUAUUAUAUUCCCAAGUUUGUAAUUGAUGUUUAUAUUUCUAUGCUAUAAUUGCAAUGGUUCUUGAACGUGAGAUUCGGAGGAAAACUCAUUUGCAUGUGUGGAAACAUAAACCCUAAUUUAAAGGUCCCUAGUCACGCCUCUUUGACUAGCUUAUAUAUAAUUGAUGAUUCUGUUUUCCUGAUCAUGAGCAUACGAUGCUGGUUAUAUAUGAGAGCACAUUGUUGGUUGAACAAUGGUGUUGGAUUGACCCAACUAAUGAUAUACCGAGAGAUCACAUCGAUUACUUGUUAUCGGUAUUAUUGUUAUUGUUGUAAUUAUCAUUAUCCUUAGACCAUGAAAAUAUCGUAUGAUAUUUAUAUCGGAAGGAUAAUUUGGGUGUUACUUAUUGUUUCCCGUAAUAGGGUUAUCAUGACGGUGAUUUCCGGGUACUCCGGAAAGUACGAAUUGAUUCGAUAGUUCAAGAUUGGGAUUUGCUCCUCUAUCGGUGGAGAGAUACACUAGGGCCCACUCGGUACGAAGAUAUCUAUCACCGUCUGGCCAGACACAAGAAUGAUAUGAUCAUUGAGAUAUCGGAGUACGGAAUGAGUUAAAAGUACAAAACCGGUAACGGGGAUAGCUAGGUACAAGUGGAACAAGGGUUGGUUCACGGGCGUACCGGAAGUCUCACCCCGGGUUUUGUAAACGUAUCGUGAAGCAAAGGGAAAUGGUUUUUAGUAACAAAUGGUUCACUUGAAAGUCUUCGUGUAUGUGUAGUAAUUAUUGAGAGUGUCCAGGCUCUUUAAAUAAUUAUUGACUGGGUCAUAGCUACACAUUUCCCAACCUAGGCGGUCAGACGCUUAACGACGAAUGGUUAUUUGAAGGUCUAAAGUUUGGAAUUUGGUCAAGAGUUGAAUACUGAAGUUGUUCAGAAUGACGAGACAUAUUUUAUGGAGGUCCUAAAUGUGAUUUAGGAGUUACAGAAAUAUUCGGAGUAAUCAUGAGUGCUUCCGGAAGGUUUUAGAAGCCUCUAGAAGGAUCCGAUGGAAAUUCCGGAAGGUCAAAUGGCAAAAGGUCAAAAGUCAAAGGUGGGUCAAACCCUGGUCAAAGGUUGACCAUGGGGGCCAGCCAUCUUGGUUUGGAGAAGGGGUUAUAAGACUCCUAUUAGGAGUUCAUAUCUAUUCCUAUUAGAGGUAGGCGUGCUACUCUUUUUGGAGGAGGACUCUUUUCGUCCUUUGGCCGGACGCCCUCCUAUAUAAGGAGGGGAGGGGUGGCCGGUUAUAGGGGCACUCUCGCUAGUUGUCCUUUGCCCGUCAAGUUCGAGCUCUCUCAUCUAAAGUUUAGACGUCUAAUUAGUAAAUCGUCUACUUUCCGAUCUAGUUUCUUCCAGCGGUUCUUCGUACUGGACGUGAAAGUGCUGCUGAACUAUUCCUCCGGGACGUGUGGAUACGUGUGGAGAGAUCGCCCACUUCGAUCUUGCAGGCGGAUCGCUGUUCGUCUACUUCAAGCUUUCAGGCGCAGCAGAUCGUGCGAGGAAUAUUCUCACGGCUGGGCGGUAUAACCUAACUGCGGGAAUCUGCUACAGGCUUCAACGACAAUCUAUUUCCGCUAUGGUUUUUUGGUAGAUGAUCAAUCUAUCGCAUCCGCAUAGUGAUCUUGAUUGGUUCGUUCGUAGGAAAAUUUUAAUUUUCUGCCUACGUUCCCUUUCAGGCGAAUGGAGGCGGUGGAGGGACCCGAGACGUGGGGUGGGCGGCCUGCUGUGCGUAUUUUAUUUAUUUUCUUUACUACUACUACUACUUAAGCCACAGUUAUGUCCGUGGUUUACCGUAAGUCCUCCCACCCCCCACAGAAAAAAAAGUCCUGAAAAAAUCCGGUCCCCCCACCCCUUCUGAGGAAACAUUCGCCCAGAAGGAAAUAUUCAAUCAACCAUCAAUUGAUUGAGUUCAAAAGAUGACCCAACGCAUUAGGCAACUCUUGGAGAGAUUUCAGGAGAGUAUGGAAAGAUUGUUAGGAGUUGGCCGAGUUGUGGGAGUGAUUUCAGGAAAGGACAUCUUGGUUAGUUGCACGUAUAGCGUGAGUUUAGGGGCUAACGGUCUGAGAUUGGCUGUUAUUUAUGGCAUGCUUUGUAAUCUUGUUUUUGGAAACAGAAAGAGGAAUAGGAAAGGAGAAAAUCUCGGGCUGUGAGAGGCAGCCUCGAGGCCCAAACCUUGCCUUCCUUAUGUUCGUGGUGUUGCCAAGAAAAGAGAUAUCGUGAGAGAGGGAGCUGCAGCGACAGAGAAGAAGAACUGGAGUUGCAGAUUCCUGCCGCGGCAGGAAAUAUUCUGCCGCGGAAGAAAAUCUGCAGGCUGGAGCUGCGUGAGGUAGACGGGGAAGAAGAAGGGGAGCAGCAGCGGCUAGCUGCUCCAACAUAGCCUUAUCAGUUGCCGGGUAUUAACUGGACAAUUCCUAAUCAUGCUUCAUGAAACGGUGCUAAAACAUUGUCCUGUGUCGCAAGUCCCAACAAUCCUAAUGGAUUUCAUUCUGCCGAGUCAUUAAAGGUCUGUGCUUGUUACUCCUAAUUCUGAUCAUAGUUAUUGUAACGUGCUUCUAUCUAGAAGCCGAUGUACACCUAUCAUGUUUGUCAGUUAUAACUUUGUAUGCUUUAAGAAGAUCUAUUUUGUACUUUGGGCUAGGUAUUUUCUACUUCGUAUGCUUCAAGGAAGGUAACUGACUGAGAUGAGAUGCAUAGUUGUUGCCAGAGAGAAGGGACGUUAGCACGUGGCAAACGUGGUUAGCAAUAAAAAUGCAAUCAGAGAGAAGGGAAGUUGGAGAAUGAAACAAAUAUUUAUUGUGAUAGGUUAAAAGUUAUACACAAUUAGUGUACAUAUUUAUUUUUAUUUAUUUAUUAUUUUUCGUUGCAACGCACGGGUACUUUGGCUAGUAUAUUUAUUUGGAGAACAUCCGUAUUUUAUUUGGUGGGCGAUGGAACAAGACAGACAUGUACCAUGCCUUCUUGGUUUUGAGUUGGUCCAGAAACAUCUCACAAAUGGUCCAACAACCCAACACAAAUGACCUAGUAUUACUCACUGUUCUAUACCAAUAGUGGGCCAAAAAGCGGAAAUUCCAUUUGGGUCCUGGGACCCCCUCCCUAUCUCCAUCAUUCCGCCGAUGUUUGAUGUUUGCUUUUAGACCCUGUUUGUUUGGGCCCUGAUGGUCGCCCUUUGCGUAUUUGUGAAAUCAUAGGUGAUGUGUAACAUUGGUAAGUAUUUUAGAUGAAACAUUGAUGUGGAUACUUUGGCUAAUAUGGAUUGACGAAGAUGUAACUUCGACAAUGUCCAUAUUGAUGGACUUGUAUCAAGGAAAGAGGAGUGUGUGUUGGCGAACUCGUCGGCUAACAAGGACACAGGGGACACGAUUUACCCAGGUUCAGAGCCCUCGAUGAGGUAAUACCCCUACGUCCUGCUUGUCGGAUCUGUAUUGAUGAGUCGAUUACAAUAGGGUGCCGCAGAGUCUAGACGCACCGAGUCGUCGAGUGCGUCCAGGCGACUUGUAUCUAAGCUCGGGGGGUGUCCUCUUGGCUCCCCCUCCUGGUCCUUUAUAUAUGCAGGAACUCACAUCCGAGGUAGAGUCCAAGUAGGUUACAAUGAAAAGACAUACUCUAAUUAUUCUUCCUUAUCUUGAGUCGCAAGAUUUGGCAUGUAAACUCCUGGAGUCGAAGUAGGCUUCCUUGUGGGCCCCUAGCUGGGCUGUAUCGGGUAUACUCGAGUCGAGUACGUGGUUAGUCAUAACCACGUCAUGGAUACUUAUGUGAUGACAUGUAUCUUGUUUGGACUUAGUGGUUUGCUAUUGGUGUGUUGAUCCAUUAGUUUCUUAUGUAAAAACAUGGCGUGAGUUGUGUUGAAACUUACCUUGAGUGAAGUCGUGGACUUGUGCUCGUACUGGUUAUUUGUGUGUUCACUUUCAGGUGUUGCCGGAGCUAGAAGAACAUGGUCGGUGAUGGGAUCGAGGGACGAAGCUUGGGAGAAGCUGAGGUCAAGGGAUCAAAGUCAUGCGAGACGUUCAUGUGAAGGAACAAUGGAAGUGAAAUAUACGAUGAUUCGGGAGGGCACCGGUUUGUCGUAUGUUGUUUAUACCGGAGAUGUAUGGUAUUGUAGAUAUUUGACACGUGAUGGUCGAGUUUUGAAGACAUCACAAGAAGAGUCAAGGAGUCCAAACAAGACCAGAUGUUCCCUAUUGUUAUCGGGAACGAGACUAAAUGUUCGGCCUUAAUGAGAUGGACCUUGAUUCCUCUCCGGCCAGGAAAAGAUGCGGCUCCUCUUUGUUUUGUUCUACUACCUUCAUCCUCGGGUGAAGCCGGUUGGCUCACCAAACAAGAGGCCUACUGUUAAAUCAUUGGUAACCAUGCCUAACGGUCGGUCCUCUAAGCUAUCGGCCAAGGCAAGUGAGAGCUGUUCAAGAGUUGGGGGCAUAUCUUUAGCUCGAGUAGCAUUCGCUCCCAAAAUGUGUGGCAUCGACGUGAAGACAUGUAGGUCCAGCCGUGGCUGGAUGAGAGCUGUUUAAAGACUAAACAAUAGUGUCAUGAAUAUGGCGUCCGAUGGAAAAGUGGUCCAUAUGGAAGUUGUGCGCGUCGUGACGCUGUGUGAAUGCUUUCUUUUGGCCUACGGGCUCCUACCUCCACAUCGCGUGCUUCGUGACGCUGUGUGAAUGCUUUCUUGGAAUAAAUCCCCAUAUGGGUCUUUGGAAGAGAAUGUUCACCAUCAAGCGCCAAGGCAAGGAUGCGAUUGGAUGGGUGAAUAUUCAAACUCAUGCGGAUGCCAAAUUCUUCAACCUCCGAGAGAGGGCAUCAUCUUCUCGAUGGAAAUCGAGGUGGUUCUUUGUCAUGGAUGUGCCGGCCGAAGGACGCGACUUCAGUCUUCCCGAAUUCUCCGUGACCACGUCGGUGAAGAAGACGAUGGCCUGGAGUCAUAAAUUGGGAGGAACAGAGGGUGAAGAAGCCGAGACUCUAUUGGCCCGAGUUCUGUCUCUCAUGGAGACUCCUCAGUUGAAGGUGACUAGAAUUCACCUCAUUGCCGCUUUUAUCCGGAGAAGAAUUCAGCCUCUGCAGGCUCGUGCUCAUCCCAUGUGGGCAUAUCGGGGGGGUUCAUGACUCGACCCGAUUUAGUACCGAGGAAUUUCGUUCGACUGAAGUGUGUCGACGAGUUCGGCGACUUACUAACUUGGACGAGUCGGAGCCCUGCGAGAUUGACCCUCCAGUGGCUCCCUAUGGGCCUGACAGGUCCCUAGAAAAGAUGACCACCGAAGCGUCUGACAAGCCCUGCUGUUUUUUGGCAUGAAUUAUUUCUGAUCAUGGUUUUGAUUUUAGGGACCCGAUAAUGAUCUAAGCGGCGCUUCCCCACCGGCAAAGAAGCGCGGCAGAGGAAAAUGACUUGUCGGUACAGACCCAAAUGAUAAGCUUGAGGGACCCGAACGUCGGGCCGUCAGUGUCUGUACCUGCGCUCAAGAGAACCAAGUCCGACGGGCCAAUCGCGACUCUCGCUUUGGUCUUUUUGCAUGACUCAACCGUGCCAGGUGAAUCUUUUAGCCAUCUUACUUCAGUAUCCUAGAGAUUUUGACUGAACCUCUAAAAACUUCUUGAUUAGCCAUACUAGUGGCUCAGUUGAGAGCAAAAAGGCUCCCUGGACUCAAUCGACUGGUCAGGACUUGAAAGGGUCGGACCAGCCGACUAAACAAAAGACAGCCCAUACCAAGGAGGCUUCGGCGGCUAAUCCGAGCAGAGGAAGUCGACCAGAUGAGUCGAGCGUUCCUCAGGCGACGGUUCCUGCGUCGAGUCGACACGUGAGCAAAUUUGUCAUUUGCUAUUACCUGCCUCCCGGUGGGAGUGACACUCAAGAAAUGACUUGAGAUUGCUUUUUUGUUUGUAGCCAAUCAUCCGCUCCAUGGCAACUCUUAUUGAAGAGUUUGAGGAGACGAAAGCAGAUCGGGAGCGACUUCGAGAAGAGCUGAGUCAAUGAAGCGAUCCUCCCCCUUACAAGGGUUCGAUCUCUGUGCUUACCGUGCUAGUCCCUGGAUCGACUCACUAGCACACACAGUUUCAUGAUGAAAUAUACAGAAACAAAGGUCAAAAGUACUUUAUUACAUCGCAUCAUUCAGAAUUUAAAUAGUACUUACAACCUCGCAUGACCUCUUGGCCAGCAUAAAACAAAUACUGUUUCAUCAUCAUAAAACAAUGUUUCAAAACUGCAGCGGAAAAGGGUAGAACAAAAGGGCCUCAACUACUCCAAGGUGAGAGCAUGUUGGAAUGUAAGCACAUGACCCAUGACAAAACGACGAACCUCACUCAUCGUCGGAUCCACCUGCAUUGUAAUUGCAGCCACUACGUGGUCAAUACAUUUGAAUGUAUUGGCAAGUUCACCAGAGUUAUAAAGGACCUACCAAGUAUAUGCAUAAUUUGGCUAGGUGGAGUUUGGCUGUUUGCAUAAAAGCAUCAUAGUUCAAUCCUAUCAUUUUUAAACAAUUAGUUUUGAAUUCUAUUGGACACGGGAUAGAAACACCCAUGCUCCUAUUAACCUAGGCACAUUGAGUAGAAACAUCAAUGCUCCUACCCAGUUCAAACCAUUCUUUUUAUUAGGAAAUUGGAAUGAGUGAGACCUUUCUUACAGCCCCAAUAUCUAGUUGCUCAUAAUUGUCCGUAACCGGGGACACGGCUAAGUACUUAGUUUGACACUCUCGAGAGGUUGUACACAUUCCCCACAAGAAAUCGACGUGUUAAUCCCUUGCUGUCCUCAGGGUAGAGUAGCAACGGCAUCGACUACAGGAUUUUUCAGAACAUAAUCUCCCAGACCACCUGAUGGACGCGCCCCCACCUACACUGCUACAUACCGAUGUCACCUCGGAUCCGGGUUCAUAUUUCUUACAUCCAUCCUGGCAGAGCCCAUAAUACCAUGUGGUUGUACUGGAAUCUACUAAACAAGAAACUAGUCCAGUCUCUGGUUACCCCGGGUGGCAUUCCUCAGUUGCAACGCAGGCGCUCCCAUAGAAAUGGUGAGACGACUCAUAGAAAUGGACCCAUAGAAAUGGACCUGACGUCGCAUACAUCUCCACUUCCUCAAAGCAGCCCACCCAGGACGGUUUAUUGAAUUACUUGUUUUGCCGUACACUAGGAAAACCAUAUUGUAAUUCAAUAGUAUCACAUUGUAAUAAUACCACCCUCGUAUAUUAUCAUAUCCUAGCAUUUUACUACCACGAUGGCAAUUGGUGGUGGGAACAUGGCAAAGGUAUUCUACACUAUUAGGAGAAUCAUAGCAUAGCAUAGAUACAAUAAUAAUCCUAACAAUGCAACUAAUAAAAUCUAGUGCAUAAUAAAGUAAUACGUGAAUGAUCAAAGUGAACUUGCCUUGAUAGUAGUUGGUAUUCAAACACUCUUCGCAAUCACACAGUUCGUUCUCCAAGAAAACUAAUCAAAUACAAACAUUGCAUACAUAAGCACACAAUACAAUCAAGAGUAAAAAAGUAUGCCAUGAUGCAAUGUAAAACAUGUGACAUGAGCUUGGUUUAUUUUAUUUGAGUGAUCUACUGAUCCUAAGCAUAAGUAAUUAAAACAAAUGCAUUAGCGUUUUAAAUAGAAAGGCAAAGGCUAGGGUUUAAACCCUGAAAUAAGGUUUUAUUUGCGUCUGCAAAGAAAUUUAAUUCAAAAUAUUUAUUUCUCUGUCUUUAUGGACAGAGGAUAAUAAAAUAAAAUUUUGGGCACUGGUUUCAUUCAAAAAGGACUUCUAAAUAAUUAGUUAUGAUUUAAAUAGUAUUAUACCUUAUUCUGUAAUUUGAAUGUGAUUCAAAUUUUCAAAUUUAAAAAUGGACAGUGCCAAAAGAUUCUACACUUCCUAAGGAUUUCAAAAAGGUGUGGAUCAUCAAAUUUGGCCAAACAGAUUAAAAGAUAUGAUCAUUUGAAGUUAGAGGGGCUUUUCUGCAAAAGUGCCAUUUCUAAUUAUUCCGGGAAUUAAAAUUAGAUUUUCGUUUUAUAAAAUAGGUGCCACAUGUCACGUUCUCAUUGGUGCGUACCGGUUCGGUUAAAAAUAAACACGGGAUCUAAUCCUAGCCCUCGGAUCUGGAUCGGACGGACGGGGCGGGCUAGGGUUUACCUCCGUGGCGGCGGCGGUCGCCGGAGACGAGGGAGACGGCGGCGCGGGCACGGGCGGGCGGCUCCUCCGGUGAAGUUGACGGCGCGGGGAGGUGCUGGGUCGACACGGCGCGGUACGGCGAAGUCGGGGGCGAGGUCGGCGCUCCUCGGGGUCGUCGGGGUGCUCGCCUAGGAUGGCGCGGAGACAGCGGCGAGCGGCGGACGGCUCCGGAUCUUCGGCUUGACGACGGCGAGGCGCUGCGGCGCGCAAAAAGGAGAAACGGACGCAUCAAAAGAUGCGCAAGGACGAAGGAAAGCGAACGGCUAGAAAUGGGCAGAGUUUUGACCUUAGGGUUCACCGGCGGCGACCAAAACGUGCGGCGGCGAGCGACGAGCUCCGGCGAGCGAUUCCGGCGGAGUGGGCGCGUGAGAGAGAGGGGAACGAAGGGGGAAGAAGAGAGGGGGGCGGGGGGCAGAGCUUUAUGUUGACGCGCUCGGGGCUGCGAAAUAUGGACGGAGCGCAGAGAUCUCGGCGGAGACGGCACGCGGUGGCGAAGAAGGAAAGCGGCGGUGGACGCGGGCGCUUUCCAUCGGGAACGAAGACCCUGACGCGUGGGUCCCACGCGUCAGUGGCAGCGGGCACGCGCGCGUGCGGCGGGGCCAGUCUGGCUCGGUCGGGCGCGGUCGGAGGGGGCUGGUCCGGCCCAUUUUGGCGGGGCCGGUCCGGUUUUCUCUUUAUUUUUCUUUUAGCCCUUUUGUUUUUUCUGUUUUUCCUAUUUCUUUGAUAUCUUUUGAUUUUUACUCCAAAUUGGUCCAAAUAAAUUCUAGAAAAUUUCUAAAAUCAUGUUCUAUCAUGAUUCAACUUUUGGGAGUAAUUUCCCUUCAAAAUAAAAUACCUAAAAAUACAUUUUCCCUAUAAAUGCCUUUAGGGCUAUAUAACUAUUUAAAUAAAAUAGUUUUUCAACUCCAAAUAAUUGUCCAAAAAUUAUGGAAUAGCUCAUUUAUGCAAUAAACCCCUUUUAUAAAUAAACCUUAUUGGUUUAAAGAUUCAAAGCUCAAAUGGGUGUAAACCCUAGGGUUUAAAUUGAAAUAAAAACUUUUAAAGCCUUUUGAGAUUCAAAUUUGAAUUCAAACGUGCAAUUGUGGCAUGAUGCUUAUGAAUGCAAUGCAUAUGAAAGGAUUUGAAAUUUUGGGAUGUUACAGUCAAUGUCGCCAAGAGCUGCAGGACGUGGCCGCCGAAAAGAGUCGUCUUCAGGAACGUAUAGACUCCCGUAUUUCCGCAGAGAAAGAGCGGGAGAAGGUUUGGAUCGAGCGACUCGAAAGUGCUACUCACUCAGUUGCUGGUGAGCGCUUGAACCUGUUAUUCGAGUGGCUUUUCCUUCUCGUGGAAAAUUUUGACCGUUUCUCUGUCCUUUUGCAGGAGUCCUUGAUGCUUCCGCAUAGGUCCAAUUCAAAGAGAGAAGCCGAAGCUUCAAUGAUGUUUUAGAAAAUGUUGAAGUCAUCAAUGAUGAAGCCAAGGGCAAGCUCCGGCAAGCGACAAAGAUUCUGACCACCGUAAUCAGGAAGAUGACUCCUGAUGGGUCAGUGCCGGAGUCGCUGAAUGGGCUUAUUGAAUUUUUUGCAGCGAGUCAUGACCCGGUAGGGGAGUACUACUGAUGCUGAGCUAUUCUUUACGCUUGCUCUUGCGCAUGGCAUUGAGGAAGACGCUCUCCAUCGAGUAACCUCUCGAUCGAGAGCAGGUGACUCGGUCAACCUAGGGCCCCUUAUGGGAAAGGGCAAAGAGCUGGCUGAGAUCUCGUUGCGGCAGCCACGUAGAUCAAUUGAGGAGAUGAACCUAGCUUCAUCCAGCGGCCCAGAGGUGGGUGAUCUUUCACUAGAUAUAUUUGAUUCUCUUUCUCCUUUGUGAAUCUUCUUCUUCUGUUCUUAUACCUUUGUAAAGAACUGCUCUAGCUGAGCCCUUUUUGGAAAGAAAUCAAAAAAUCUUUAUUUCCAUCCCGAAAGGGGUUCUUCAGGAUAAAUGCUGAGGUAACUUGUGUCUUUUCCGCGCAGAGGGAAAAAGGACCAUCGAGUCACUCGAUUCCAGGUGCAGCGGCAACCUCUCGCAACGAUGCUCCAGCCGAUCCUAGCGGAAAAGGUCAGGCUGGGUCGGCUUUGUGCCCAGAGCAGUUACGAGAAAUUGAGGCUCGAUUCACUAAAUUGAAGCGUGACACGCUGGGUGACGCUCAGAGUAGCAAAUCUAGCCUGAAAGCUGCGACCAACCGGGAAGAGUUUGUCUUUGGAGAGCUUCGCAGCCUGAGCAGCCAAAUCCAAGGUAAGGAUCGCAAGACUUUGCCUUUCGAGUCGGUCUGCAAAGUGAUCUUACCGUCUUCUGUGCAGUUGUUCGCUUUGACCCUGACGAUGAAAAGGCCAAAGUGAAUACCGCCAUUCAAGCUCGCAGAGUGCAUGAUCCAUCAUCCUUUUCGCUGGAUCAGUCAAGGAGCUACGACUUGAUGCUGUUGAUCGAGCGGAUCAAGCAGGUCAAAAGGUACUUGACCUCCUGCCGUGACAUGCUAGCUUCGACACAUCUGGCCUUAUGGCCACAGGAGAAGGUGCCUCGUAAACCGGGCAGCCUGAUGGUGAAGUUUCACGACGAGGAGAAGAUGAAGGAGCUGGUUCGACUCUAGCUGGUGAGGGGUGCCCAGAUUGCCCUCGCAUUUGUGCGAGUCAACUGCCCAGAGUUGGAUUUCUGGCAAAUUGCUACAUUGCCAGUUACUCUCACCCAGGGUAUAAAGUCAUUCCUGGAGGCUGGGCAGGCGGCGGCGCUGUAGAUGAUCCAGCAAUGGGAGGCAGCUGAGGAGGAGACCCUGCCUGUCGUAGGUAGUCAUGUAGUUUUUUUCCUCUCUUUUUUUGUAACGACUAGUCUACCGGGUGCGCGAUCAGCGCUCCCGGUGGGAGUAGCCCCCGAGUGCGGUUGCAACUGUGUGUAGUGGCGACCGGACUCAAGGUUGUAAUGUGAUAUCCUUGAGCAAUGUUGCACCCCUUCUUUUUUUGGAAUGGAGCGCCCUGACUUGCCAAUUAGCGCCGAGUCGAAUUCCGACUUGUGGAAGUCGAAUUUGAGUCGGAUUUGAAGUACUCCUGGUGGGAGUGCCUCGCAGUCGAAUAUAAAUAGCCGAGUGCAGACUCGAACGUACUAGCCAGCGCAAGGGAUUUGUCCUGCUGAUUAGCACUUGGGCCUUGGAAGAAGAUAUGGAUUCCUCCGAUGCACUCGAGGUUAUGCAUAUCCGUUUGGGACAUGUGAGGAAUACCACCUCGCGCAGGCAUGGGAGGAGAUUUCCUUGCUCAAGUCGGAGAAUCGGGCCGCAUCGGGUCGAGAGGAUUUAAUUUCCUCAGGGAAAAUGUGAAGGUUGAAGCUGAAUGUGUAAAGAGUCGUCUUGAUGCUUUAGCACGAUCUGGUUCGGAGAACCCAUCCUUCUAGUCAAAACCGCGACAAGGGUUAUGCCCUUGCGCUUCUGCAAGAUCGAGUUGCAAGAGCAGUGAUCUGCCUGAAGUCCUGCAGUCACUGUUUGACAGAGGUUCACCAUAACUUGUUUCCGGAGCUUCGUGUCCCUGUUGACCUGAAGGGAUUAAUCGAGAGAUUUUGUGAAGGAGCAGUAGUGAGGGGGGCUACUCAUGAACAAUUGGUGGAGGGUGUUGUGCUGGCUCUCUCGUUUGUUCGUUUUCGCUACCCCUCAUUGAAUCUGGACUCCCUGCAUUUGACUCCCUCUUACAUUCCAGACGAUGCUCAGCUUGGACCGAUUUACGACAUGAUGGAGAACACGACAUGUCAGCUGGUGACUCUUAUGGCCUUGGAGUAGAGUAGGCUUUGAUACUCGUUUAAAUAUGUAGGCGUAGUUGUCUGAGUAGUAUUUUUACCGGGUGCGCGACCAGCGCUCCCGGUGGGAGUAGCCCUCGGGUCUGUGCAUGACUGGUUUGCAGUCAUGUGGAGACCCAAAUACUUUGAAAUCUUUUGUAAUUGAAAACUGUUAGCAUCGUUGAAGAUGCCGCACCUUCUUGUUCUGUACUUCCAUUGAUCUUGUAUGAGAAAACAUUAUGAUUCCAAUUUUGCUUGCUUGGAAACUGCCGACCAUUGAAUGAUUGUGCUGAUGUUUGUUUACGCGAUAGCCCGUGAAUGCCGGCUGCAUACAACGAGAGUUUUUUAAAGUCGAUUGAACGCAGCCUCCGAGCGUGGGGUGCGACCAAUGACAAUGUCUGCGGUCGACGGGACACAGCCCCCGAGUGUCGAGUGUGUCCAAUGAUAAGUUUGGGUCGAUUGGACGCAGCCCCCGAGUGUCGGGUGCGUCCAAUGACAGUUUAGGUCGAUUGGACGCAGUCCCCGAGUGUCGGGUACGUCCAAUGACAAGUUUGGGUCGAUUGGACGUGUAACAUACCGGUUCUCGGCAUUUCCAAAAUCUAUUUCCUAAAAAUGACUACUUGAAAAUUUCGCUGAAUUAAACAAAGCUUAACUGGAAAUUUCUUGAAUCUUUGGUUCUAAAUUGAAUUUACACCGACUAAAUAUGAAUUUGAUUUAUACACUUUCUCAUUUGGUUUGCUUAUAUUUUAUUUGGAUUCUCCAUGUUCAAAUAUGCACUUUUAAAUCUCUCUGGAAUUCAUCUCGAAGUUGAUUUGAUGUUUGAGAAGUUCAUUCGAUCUCUUAGCUUCUGUAAAAAUAAAAAAGCAUUUCCUCUUUCUUUUUAGCUUUGGCUGAAAUCCCCAGCCGCAACCCAUCUUCCUUCUCUCUCCCGUAGCCCACUUCUGGCCGAACUGCUCCAGACUACCGUGCCUUGCUUCUAUUUUCUCCCGCGUGUGUUUAAUCUCCAGAGGACGAAGGAGAACUGCCAUCUCCUCGACGCCAGUGUAACUCGAGCUACCUAGAACGAUCGUAUUCAGAGGGAGCUCACGCGAGGAAGACAAGAGUUUUUGCGCUGCUCAAACUUCCGCAGCUUUUCUGGCAUUUUUCAUUCCCCUUUUUAUUCAGACGUUACAUGCAAAACAGAAAAUGGGGAGAGCAAGCCGCGCCAUGAUCCGCUGAUCCCGCGCCAUCCCACGGCCGAGUCAUGGCGCACAUCCCGCUCCUCCACAACGGCCACACUAUAGGCACGCCCAUGCAAACGUACGCAGACAUGCUGGGACGUGUUAUGCUAACAGAAAACAAACUAACAACUGAAAGCAAAGAUGUUUAACAUGCACGAGUUUACUAACAAAACACUCCCUAAACUCGUGCACCUACUUUAUUUGGAUCAUACCAAUCUUCGAGCGCAAUUCCUGGAAUCUGACGCGGCCAAGGGACUUGGUCAGGAUAUCAGAGAGCUGCGCCUCAGUUCGGAUGAACUCCACUUCAGCCUGGCCUUUCUCAACGCACUCCCGUAUGAAGUGAAAUCGAGUGUCGAUGUGUUUGCUCCUGUCGUGGAACACAGUAUUCCGGCUGAGAGAGAUCGCCGACUUGUUGUCGACGAACAACUUGAUGCAGGCCGCCUCUUCCUUCUUCAGUUCACCGAAAAGACGAGCUAGCCACACUCCCUGAGAGACAGCAGUGGUCACCGCAAUGUAUUCGGCUUCACAAGAUGAGAGCGCCACCACCUUCUGCUUGGUUGACUGCCAGGUAAUCGGACUUGUUCCGAGGAAGAAGAGGACGCCGUGGUGCUUUUGCGGUCGUCUAUGUCGCCAGCCAAGUUGCUGUCGCUGUAACCGACAAGGUUGGCGUCGCCGUUUGCUCCUCGUGCAAACUUGCAGCCAUAGUUCAGGGUCCCCGCGACGUAGCGAAGUAUGUGCUUCACUGCUGCAAGGUGCUUGACAGUAGGGGACUCCAUGAAUCUGCUCACAUAGCCCACCGAGAAAGUGAUAUCCGGCCGGGUGUGAACCAGGUACCUGAGGCACCCCACGAUGCUCCUAUAUUCAGAAGCAUCCGUUGGCUCUGCUGAACUAGCUUUGCUCAGCUUGAGGCGUGUUUCCAUCGGCGUCUGACAAGAAUUACAGCCCGUCAUCCCACUGCGCUCAAGGAUCUUCACGGCGUAUGAGGACUGACAGAUGGUGAUGCCGGCAGCGUCUUGCUGCACUUCAAUGCCAAGAUAGAAACUGAGUGGCCCAAGGUCACUCAUCUCAAACAGCUGCUUCAUUUCUGCUUUGAACAACUGCAGCUCUUGCUCGUUGGCUCUAGUAAUGAUCAGGUCGUCCACGUAAACUCCGACCAAAACUCUGGCUUUGUCUUCACCUCUGGUAUAGACAGCAUGCUCCAGCUUGCUGCGAACAAAGCCAAUUGACGUAAGGCAAUGAUCCAGCUUUGCAUUCCAUGCCCUAGGAGCCUGUUUUAGACCAUAUAAGGCCUUCCGAAGCUUGAACACCUUGUGCUCUUGCCCUUUCACCUCGAAGCCCGGUGGCUGAGCAACAAACACCGUCUCCUCUAGUUCACCAUUGAGGAAGGCGGACUUCACGUCCGUGUGGUGCACAGUCCACCCGGCAUGCGCCGGGAGAGCAAGCAGCAGCCGGAUGGAGUCCAGAUGAGCGACCGGCACGAACACUUCGUCAUAGUCCACGCCAUGCCGCUGCACGUAGCCCUUUGCGACAAGACGGGCUUUGUGCUUGGCCACCUUGCCGCGAGAGUCUUUUUUCACCUUGUACACCCACUUCAAUCCUAUAGGACGUUGUCCUUCCGGCAGCGAGACCAAUUCCCAAGUAUCAUUGGCCUCAAUAGAAUGCAUUUCCUCCAUUGCUUUGCGCCACCACGCAUACUGGAUGGCAUCACGGUGGCUCGUUGGUUCUUCGUUGAUGAGGAGAUUCAGCAGCGGGGCCGCACCGGCAUCAAGCACAUUCCUGACAGUGCGAUACCGAUGAGGCACAUGAGCGUCGUCGUCGUUGUCGAACAGCUCUGGUUCCACCGUGGGUGGAGAGACAAGCUCGAAUCCCACAGUGGGCGAUUCAGCAGGCGUUGCUGGUGUUGCGGGCGUUGCUGGAGUCAUGGGCGCUGGACUGGAGUCGUUCGUGUUGUCGGCCGGAACUGGAGAUAAUGCCGCCUGCGUCGCGGCCGGGUGCAGCACAUACUCAACAGUAAAAUAAUCUGUCGACAAACCAGAGUCGUUAUUGCUGCCGUCUGCGUCCCAGUUCCAUGCCGCAGACUCGUCGAACACCACGUCACGAGUGACAUGGAUGCGCCUCGCCACGGGAUCAAACAUUUGGUAGGCCUUGAUCCCAGGCUCGUAGCCGAACAUGACCAUCUUGCGGCUCCUGUCGUCCAGCUUCUUGACAUUGGGGCUCACCAUUUUGACAUGGCCGAUGCAGCCAAAAGUGCGGAGAUAGUGCACAUUCGGCUGCCAUCCAUGCCACGCCUCGAACGGGGUCUUGCCCUCAACGCUGGCCGUCGGCAAACGGUUCAGCAGGUACACUGCCGUGGUGACUGCCUCGCCCCAGAACUCCGCCGGCACUCCCUUCGCCUUCGCAGGCAGCGUGCCAUGCCGACGACGUUUGAUUGCGCCGCUCGACGACGCCGUUUUGCUGGGGAGAGUACGGCGCUGUCAAGUGCCGCUUCACUCCCAGCUCCUCGCAAUAUGCAGUGAAGUUGUUCGACGUAAAUUCACCGCCGCGAUCGGUGCGCAGCGCUCGGAGUGGAUGCUGCGACUCGUUCUCGGCAGCCACCUUGAAUCGCUUGAUGGCCACGACUGCCUCGUCCUUGCUCGUCAACAAGGUCAGCCACAUAUACCUGCUAUAAUCAUCCACAAGAAGCAGGAAGUACCGCUUGCCUCCUGGCGUUGCCGGUGUCACCGGGCCGCAGAGAUCGCCAUGCACCAGUUCAAGCUGAUCUGCAGCCCGGUACUUUGCCUGGUGGGGAAAGGGAGCUCGGCGUUGCUUCCCCACCAAGCAGCUGUCGCAGAGCUGGCCCACGCGCUCGAUCGUCGGCAUGCCGCGAACCAUGCCGUCCCUGGAGAGCCUCCGCAGUGCAUCGAAGUGCAGGUGGCCGUACCUGGCGUGCCAACGCCAGGCGUCAUCGUUCCCUUGUACAGAGAGGCAGAUGGGCUGCGCCACCUCGAGAUGUAGCACGUACAGACGCCCCCGGUUUCGCCUCACACGAGCGAGCAGCUUCCGUUGUGGAUCCCACAGCCGGAGAACGCCGUGGUGGAUGUUCGUCUCACACCCAAUUUCGUCCAUCUGCCCUAGACUGAUGAUAUUGCUCUCCAGACGUGGGAUGAAGUAGACAUCAGUGAGCACUCGGUGCUCACCGUUCCGGCAAGUGAAGACAAUCUUGCCGCGGCCCUCGAUGUUGACCAGCGAGCCGUCCCUGAGCUUUACGCGUCCACUCAUGCCGGCAUGCAGCUCGGAGAAGAGUUCACGGCGCCCGGACAUGUGGUUCGACGCGCCACUGUCCAGGAACCAUGACAUGUUGCAGCGCCCAUCGCCGGGAGCCGCGCGGGCUUUAGAGUGCUCCUCAUUCAGCAUGACGUGCUCCUCGGCGUCGUCCGUGAUCACCUUCAGCGCGCACGUGCGCGCCAUGAGGAGCGCCGGCUCCUCGUCGUCGGCUUGGGCGAGAUUGGCAUGCCCCUUUCAUUCCUUCCUAGGCUCACGACAAUGCUUCGAGAAAUGGCCCAUCUUAUUGCAAUUGAAACAUUUCACCUUGGACAUGUCGAUGUUUCCGUUGGCGUCGCGGGCAUGCCCAAUGCCCUGUUGCUUCGGAGCCUUGCCGCGCUCGUUGCCGUUCGCGUUCUGGGCAUGGUUCGUGCCGCCCACGUUCUGGCCUUGGCCACCGCUGCCUUGGCCCGUCUGGCGCUGGCUGCGGCGUGUCUCCCACUCCUCUUCGGUGAGGAGUAGCUGGCCUCCGGCAGCACUGGACGAGCUGCUGCCGAGGGUGUAUCGGGACUCCGCCGCGCGAAGCCGCCCGAUGAGUUCCUCCAAAGACACCUGCUUGAGGUCGAGCAGCGUCUCAAUCGACAUCACGAUUUGCAUGUAUUUCUCCGGCACACGCGCGAGGAACUUCUUCACCACCGUGUGACCGGCGCCACCGGAUCGCCGAGCGUCUCCAUGUGGUUGAUAUGGCUGUUGACCCGCAUGCUGAACGAGUCGAGGGAUUCGCCGAGUUUGAAGGCGAAGCGCUCCCACUGCGUGCGAAGGCGUUCCACCGCCGCCUUGCGCACGCGCUCCACGCCGAGGCGCAUGAGCUUGAUGGCCUCCCAGCCCUCCCUGGCCGUCUCCUUGGAGGCAAUGAUGCCUUUCAUCUCCGGUGGCACGGCUUUGAUCAGCGCCGCCAGAGCAUUCAUCUCGUCGACCUCGCUGAUCUCGUCGUCCUCCUCAGCGAUCAUGGCCGUCCACAACCGCUGGGCACGCAGGUUGACCUUCAUGACCUGUGCCCACUCGACGUAGUUCGUCGCCGUUAGCUCGGGGCAGGUGAUCGUGCUUCCCCCGCCGCCGGCGACCACCCUCUCCUGGACGAUUAUCUGGCGGUUGUCGUUCCGCCUCGCGCCAGGACUCUGACCUCGCGGCCGUCGUGAAGCCGACCGCGAACCACCGACAGACCGCUCGCGUGAGCGAUCCUGACUGCCGGCCAUGGCGCCUAGAGCCUUUCGUGGCUCUGAUACCAACUGUAACUCGAGCUACCUAGAACUAUCGUAUUCAGAGGGAGCUCACGCGAGGAAGACAAGAGUUUUUGCGCUGCUCAGCCAGAAACCGGCAACAAGAAACGUCAUCCGACAGCCAUCAAAUUAAUAACCCCAUCUUGCCCUUCCUUCCUUUCCUCCCUGCUGCUUUUGCACGCCAUAGCCUGAAUUCCACCCGCAGCAUCGCCAAGUCCCUGCCUGCGCCCCACUGCCCACCAAAUCGCCAUUGAUGUUGACGGCAGAAUCCUGCGAAUAAAAACGCUGCAGACCAAACCCUUGCGCCAGAACAACCACACCAUUCCAAUUUUCCCCAACGCAACUCUCCCCUCUCCACUUUCCAACCGAAGACCCCCAUGGUGCAGCACCGAAGAGGAUGACAAGGGAGAGCAGCACCAGCGAUCAUGUCAGGAGGGCCAUGCCAAGAAGGGAUCGAGGCCAAGCGCCAUGCAGUAGGAAGAAAGGACUGUCGUCUGAUCGACUACAACCGCCAGCAAAUCCUCCUGUCUUUAUUCUACUGCUAUUCAUCGAAUUGGUGAGAAUCUGAUCAAACCAUCAUCCUUUUGAAUGCCUCUACAUCCAGCACAUAUGCAGAUUCAAGUGGAUUUCUGAACCAAUUUGUUUAGCAUCCCCAAAUUCUCUUUCUUCCACUUCUGAAUAUUGUUCCACCGAUCAAAUCUUUCUCCCAUCCUUUAGUAACCAUCUUUAGUCAGCAUUACCACUGGUUACAGGUCCUAGACCAAUCGGAUAGGGGUUGGGAACAAUAAAACUCAAAUAAGCCUAUCCUGCUUGUUAGCACCAAAAUGGUUGAUUUCAUAUCUUUGCUAGAUCAAUUUUUGUUUGUCUGAAACUUUCUGCAUAUAUAGAUGUCUAUCAUGUUCUAGUAUUAAUUUACUUUGCAUACAAAUAGUUUCACAUGUUCUGGACUUGUAGAUUUGAGGAUCUUGAGAUUGCAAGGUUGUUAUUUCAUGUGCAAUAGUUAUUUUGAUCAUGCUUGUUCUUUCUGUGUAAAAAUCUGCAUAAAUGUCUAUAAGAUCAUGUUUGUAGUUAGUUUUACCUGCACACAUUUUAGUUGGACUGUCACUUCUGAAUCUCCAUUUGUGGGCAUGUUUUAUCUAUUAUUUAAAAGCAUUGUUUGCAUUCUAGUUCAUCGGUUUGGUACAGAAAAUCAUGUGAAUGAAGUUUGCUGCACAAAAAUGCAUGGCAUGACAUCUUAGAUACUUCUAUGAGUAUUAUGAACAUAUUUUAGAACUCAGCCAUAUUUAUGUUAUUGAUCGUUGAGUGUAUCUAUUUUAAUUUGUGCAGAUUAAUAAAUGAUCAUUCUUGCAUAUGUUUUGCGUAGCUUAUUUGUACGGGUUAGAUUUAUGUCUUGGCUUGCUUGUAGUAUUUUUAGCCUGUAACAAAUUGUAUAUAUAUUGUUACAUAAUUAUUUCUAAAGUUUGUAGAAUUUUCUCACAUGCCUAGUUAGCUUUCAGAUUUAUAAAUUAGCAUCCUUGCUUGUGUUUUUGUUUAUGCAGCACAGCCAUGAUAGUUGUUUUGGUUAUAUCAGAUUUAAUAUAGCUUUUGUAUGCUUACUAGUAUUGUUGGUAAUUAUUUGAGUAUUUAUGGAUUGCUAGUUUGUUUUUAACAUUAUUAUUUCCAUAGAUAUACCAUGUUUAGUGUAUAUAAAUGCUUGUUAAUGUAUAUACUAUUUGUCUAAUACAUUGCAGCGUCCAAUAUUAUACUUGGGUUGUUUUGAUGCUUUCCAUGCUGUUCAUAUAUAUGUCAUGGUAUGAUGUUUGUUAUCCAUGGCCCAAGGUAGAAGAAGACACACAAACACAAUGAACUCACAGAGGCUUUGGCACCCGCACACCUCGUGUCUUUUUUUCUCUUGUUCACUUGUAAACUUAGCUGAUUACAAGUCUUAAGUAGAGAGAAAAACAUAGGCACACACUGCUGCUUUGAUCCGCUAAUUGCUCUCCACUAGCCGGUAGCUAGAAAGCCACGAAUAAUCACGUUGGAUACGGCCACACGAUUCAGCCGGAGUCCUCCUCAACUUGUUGAUUACUCGGUCCACACCUGAAGCCUCUAAUGGCCAUGUAACUCGGUCAGCAACAGCACACCUACCUGCAUGCUACUUAUCCUAUCGAUGCCAACACAUGCAUCCAUUCUCCACUGGACUAGCUAAUUCAACUAACUAAAGUACUAAACUCACUUAGCUUGCAUGCACACACGUGAACACAUCUCUCCGUGUGCGCUGCCACAGCUUGCUACCUGAACGACACAAAUAAAUGAACAUGAUGAAAAAACUCUAAACAACAAGGUUAACUCCAACAAUGUUUGCAUUUAUCCACUACCUAUAUUGCAUAUAGAGUAGGUUUGUACAAUUGCAAUGCAUUUGCUAUAGUUUAUUCUUGUAGCUAUUCCGAUAUUGCAUGAAUGCUUUGUACAAUUUUAGUACAAUAUAUUCCAAAGCCAUGAGCUUGAUUGUAUUUAUAGAUACAAAUAAUAUGCAUGUGCUUUCUUAUUGCUUGGCAUACUUUGUUAUGGUUUGACUUAUACAUCAUAUAUGCUCAUCCAUGGAUAGCCUCUUGCUUGCUAGCUAGUGAUACAUGUUAGUUGUUGCCUGUCCCUGUAUAUGCUAAUAUAAGGAUGCAUGUCAUUUAUUUGUUUAGCUUUGCCAUGUUUGUUAGUGCAUAUGUCCAUAUUAUCACAUGAUAGCCUAUUGUCACUGAAGGAGCAUAUGUAUUCUAGAGUGCUUUAUCCCUAUUAAUUAUUCUCACAUGAUAGCAUUGUUUGUUCUGACCUCCAUCAUGUAUAUGUUGGCUUGCAAAUGCCUAUAUUGUUUAGUUGCCUAUAGCUAAGAUGCAUCUCUUUGGUAUUAUCAUGCUCAUGCCACUAGCAUAGAUCCUAUGCUUGCUUGACUAGUAUAGAAUCAUGUGUGGCAUGUUUUACUCAUAAUUUAUCUGUUGUGAUUGUUCAUGCUUAAUUUGUAUUCAACCUUGACUUGAAUUAGAACUACUUCUGUUUUUUAUUUUAUUUAUUUUUAUCAUGUGUAGAGAGAAUUGUUAGCUUUGUAAGUCUCUCACUCAUCCUUGCUGUUGUAUGCCAGUUUGUAUAUUAUGCGAAUUGCUUGUUUAACUAGGAUGAUAGGAGUUUGAUUGCUGCUUGCAUGCUAGCAUAAUAAUGUGUGUUGCUUUGUCAUGGAGUGCAUUUACAAAUAUGCUUGAGAGUUAUCUUUGGUUAGUGGCAGCAUAGCUUUAUAGUUUAGUAUUUAUUAUUAUUAUACUAAAGGGUAUGACCAAUCAUAUAUAUCCUUCCUCUCGGAUAUAUAAUUAUACUUGUUAGAAUCUGUCCCACCAUCCAAUCCUAUCAAAGUUAUUCAUAUCGUUUCCAAACCUAUUGUCAGCCUCAUUGUUUAUUCGCUCUCUUAUUUCUAUUUCAUUUGACUUUAUUGCUUUUGCAUUUAUUUUGUUUGUUCUUGUUAUCGUUACGACAAAUAGAGAGUGACGAGGUGGAUCUGAGUGCGUCCAAUGACAAGUUUUGGGAUCGAUCUCUCAGUUCUGAGUGUGAUGCGAUCGCAACAAGGUAAGUAAAAGGGGAAGGCUCUGAAUAGAGGAGCAUAAUUAGUUUUAUUACGUACCGAUGGUACAAGAAGGUACUUAAAAAUGCAGAAAAAGGAAAACGAAUAGGUGAGAAACUAAAAAAUAAAAUCGAGUAAAAAAAGCCUGGCGCGUUGGCGGCACAAUUGCGUGGCAUUCCGCGCCUUGCUUCUUGAGUCCCCGGCUCUGGAUUGGAGUCUGAGGGGGAGGUUUUUGAUUCUCCUAUCCCGUAGUCGAGUUGGCUGAACAGCCAUGUCAAGUGCAACUGGGUGCACUGCUCCGGCGAAACUGGCUGGGCGCGGAGGCGGAGGAGGAGCACCGAUGGCUAGAGCUCCUGGUAUGGGAGGCAGCAAGGGUGCAUUGACUCCUUCGUUAGGGUAUGGAAGCAUCCCAGGUAGCUGUGAGAAGCCCGCACUUGUUGCCCACUGCUGUGUCCUGGCAAACUCAGCCUGCAGUUCCUUGGAGCGCCGGCACUCGGCUAGAGGGUGGCUUGGCUUGAUGUUGCCUUGCUCAUCCCUGUAGACGUGAAACGGGCAAGGGGAAGCUAGCUGCUGAGCAAGGGUUGGUUGAUUUCUUUUUCUCUGCCAUUUGUUGCCCACGCUUGUCACCACCUCGAAAACCUCCACCGUGAUUUCCGGUCUCCUAAGAGCCAAAAUCUGUCGGAGAGGCUGCCGCGAUGAAUUCAGGAGGGUGUGAUUCUUCGAAGGCUCGGUUUUUGUGCUCCUUCGUCGAUCGUGGCCACGAUCACCCUCUUCCUCUGGAGAUCGGUGGCGUUCAUUGCGAACCGAGUCUUCACCGUCAGCCCAUCGAUUUGUGGGCUGCACACAACCCAAUUCUUCCUUGAGUUCGACUCGUCGGAGUCCUCGUUUGAAGGCGUACAUGGCGCUUUCGUCGGAGACUUCCUCAGCAGCGUGUUUGGUGUUGGUCCAGCGCUGGAUGUACGAACGGAUGGAUUCUCCCUCCUUUUGAAUACAAGCUCAGAGUUGCUCGAUGUCGCACCAGUGGCACCCAGGGUACCACCGCUGCACGACGCGUGGGCCCCGUUCCCGGGUUCCCGGGAAGGUCUCAUCCCGAGGAGCGUCUAUGAGCUCCCCGGCAAGCUACCAGCCCGAAAGGGGCUCGCGGGGCUUCGGGGAAUAUUCCCGCCUGGGCACCUCCGGGAAACUGCUUCCCGAGAGGGGGUUCCCAGGUGCGUUGGGCCCGGGUGCUUCCCGGGGUCGACUUGCUGGGUUCCCGGGCGCGUGCCCCCGCCUCGGGCGUGGGGCCCAGUGGACAGCGCCACGCGGGCGCAAUGCGGGCGCGGGACGCGCGGUCCCACCAAGGCAAUGAGUAAGGCGCACGGCUCAGUAAACGAGCCGACCGACGGGUAGUUACCCGUCCGAUCCAAGGAACAGUGGUUGUCUAAUCCUA
Molecule: long non-coding RNA, 59876 nt
Filed under: Brachypodium distachyon (stiff brome)
Lineage: Eukaryota; Viridiplantae; Streptophyta; Magnoliopsida; Poales; Poaceae
Description: long non-coding RNA (BDIS_LNC003394)
Source: RNAcentral